RNAcentral lists this long non-coding RNA (54352 nucleotides) under Ananas comosus (pineapple). Its description in RNAcentral is "long non-coding RNA (ACOM_LNC024931)". The stretch from base 24530 to 24602 matches the Rfam family "tRNA". Lineage: Eukaryota; Viridiplantae; Streptophyta; Magnoliopsida; Poales; Bromeliaceae. The record is from RNAcentral.
UUAAUUAUAACUUCUUUUUUACUGUUUUAUUAGUUCAAGAGGGGGAAAGGGGGAGGGGAAAGGAUAAAUAGUGCGUCUCACGUCGUAGAUGAGGAGUUUGCACAUGGUGGCCAUGGGACGUGCACGUGCAUGGGCAUAUAUAUAGAAUAUAUGGUACUUUUUUUUCCUUUUUUUUUUUUUUGAGGGGUUUGAAUACAUAAAUGGUUUAUUUUGCGAGUUAUAUAUGUAGGAUAGAUAGUUAGUUUGGAUGUGUAGGAUAGAUAGGUAGUUUGGUUGUGAGUUACAAAACGUUUAAGUGGUUUGAUGCAUUGGGCAUGCGCGCGCUUGGGUUGAUUAAUUUGAGGGCUAAACUGAGACUCGUCACAUUUAGAGCAUGUUUGACCCUGCUGAGCCGAAGUAUAAUUUUCUCGCUCAAGGUCUAUUGUUGGGUCACGAUUCUACUUAUGUUUUAGACAGCAAUGCCCAAGAGAAAAAAUCUACAGCUUUUGUUACAGCAAAAGCAGAAAUUAAAUUUUUGAACCUAAAUAAUCGAAAGUCUAAUUUAAUAUCUGCAGUUCAAUAUGACAUUUGCUUCCAAUCAGCAUCAUUUUUUAAAUAGCACUAUUUCGAACAACACGAUGCCUUACCACGGGAAAGACCCAGUAGACUGAGCUAGGCGCGAGUACACCUUUAAUUCGUAAAUUUAUGGCGUCGGUGGCUUUUUCGGCCUCCAACAUGAACUAUGGUUUGAGCGUGGUCCAUGAAACUUAGAAAAGAACCAUAUGGCACGAGAAAAUGGACAUUUAAUUUGGCCACGUGAGAAAAUAUUAUUUUAUUGUAAUAAGAAAGUGCUAAUUACUUAUAUAAUUUAUAGUCUAAAUAUUAAUAUGUUACGCGUAAUUGUUACUGCAUCAGCUAUAUAUUGAAUGGACCAGUCAAAAUGCUUUGGAUGUACUUUUCUGCAUAGAGAAAAGGAGUGGAUUCUUAUAAUCAUCUACCAGGGUUGAAAUCUUUUAACCUACUAUGCCUAGGCCAUUUGGUGACAAACAAAUUUUAUUUUCCAGCUAAAUUAUAUAGUAACAAGCACAUGGAAUGCAUACUUUUAAUAGGGAUGAAAAUAACUUUAAACGUGUUAUUAUAAUAAAGCUUGUCAGUUGUCACAUCUUAUUUUAAAAUUAACUAUUCAGCGAAACUUUAGUUGUAUUAGAUCAAGCAUUUGUAUUAUUUUUGCAUGGAGAAAGAGUGGAGUCUACAGGUUCAUUUUAGGUCUUCAGUAAGGACUUGUUUGGUUCAAGAGUAGAAUUAGAACGAAUAAUGGAAUGAGAAUGAAUUGAAAUGACCCACUCCUCCAAGACGUUUGGUUUAUUUGUGGAUUGAGAAUUGGAAUGAGUUAUUCACAUUUCAUUAUUUGGUUCGUAUAAACUAAAAAAAUUAUAGAAUAUUAUAAUACUAAUUUUACUCUCAAAUAUAAAUUUAUAUUAUUUAAAAUUUAUGAAAAAUAUAAUACUAUUCUCUAAUAAGUUUUCCAAAACAAAUAUCAAAUUUAUUUUUAAAAUUUUUUAUUGAUGUGGGUUAGGGGCUGGGUUUUGAGAGAGGAUAGGUUUUUGUUUAUUUUUGACGAGAAAGGGGUGAAGAGAAGGACGGUGAGAUGGUCACAUGGGCUUCGAGAACUUAGUAGGCUUCCGGAAUGAAAUCUCAAUCCGGGCUAGAAGAUCGAAAUCAAGUUGAAGGCUAAUGGGCCAUUCCUAUUCCAGUCCGGAAUAGAAAUCUCAAACCGAUUCAUGCGAACCAAACAAAAUUAAUCGGAUUUGAUCAAACCGAUUCCCAUUUCAUACCCAAAAUGGAUGAACCAAACAAGCCCUAAGAGUUAUUAUUAUGAUUUUUUUUUUCUAAUUUGUCAAAUACUAAUACAACCACGAAGAUACCUAAAGAGAAAUAGGAACGGGACGAAUCUGCCACUUUCUUAUGUCUCUGCGAUUCAUGCAAAAGAUGGCGAGUCCAAACUCAUUUUCUCACUCAAUUGAGGCCUAGUUUUGCCCGGCGGUGCAGCUUGCUUUCUGGUCGCACUUUGCUUGCUAACGCCAAAGCUUUCGUUCAGAGCUUCUGCAGUAAUGUGAUAUGCAAACCACACACACGCACGCAGGCACACACACAGACACGCACGCACGCACACACACAUGCACGCACGCACACGCGCACGCGCACACAAAAACACAUAUUCUAAUUUACACACACACAAUUUGAGCGUGUUUGGUUCGUUUCUUUUUCACCCUGGAAUCGGAAUAGAAAUGGGUGAAUCUAUUUGUAGGUCUUUGAUAGACAGGAGUUCCAUUCCGAUUCCGAUUUUCGAAUGGAAUGGAAAUCUCUUAAUCACCAUUUUUUUCAAUCCGGCCUAGAAGACUGGAUUGAAAGUUGAAUCCGGACGGAAUGGAUAUUUAUUCGAAUUAAAUUUAUUUUUUUAAUUUUUUUAAUUAAAAUAUGAGUUUAAAUUUAAAAAUUAAAUAUAUAAUUUUAAAUAUUAAUUUGAAUUUGAAUUUGAAUUAAAAAUUAAAAUUUCAUCAAGUAUUUUGAAUCUAACUUAUGAUUUUGAAUUUAAAUUAAAUUUUAAUUUAUAUAAAUUUUUAUUAUAAUUUUAUUUAAAACUUAAAUUAAAUUUAUAGAUUCAAAUUAAAAUUUAAAUUGUAAUUUUAAGUUUGAAUUUGAAUAAAUCAAAAUUUAGUUUUAUAUUUUGAAUUAUCCACUCAACUUCAAAGUUUAAUUUUUUUUUUUAAAGAUUUAAAAUUUUGACAUUAUUUUAAAAUUUUGAUGUAAAUUUUUAAUAUUUAAUUUUCAAUUUGAAUUUAAAUUAAUAUAUUAUAAAGAUAAAGUUAGUAUAUUAAUUUGAUUACGUUUUUUAUAUCUACAUGAACAAAACAGCGACAAUGAGAAUGAUUUAUUCUAAUUCCGAUUCACGUGAUGAACCAAACAGAAUUAAAUAAUAAGUCAUUCUAAUUUCGAUUCUAACUUAUUUCGAUUCCGAUUCCGACUUCCGAACCAGACACGCCCAAAAAUUCCAAUUUUUGCCCGCAAAACACUGUAGGCUCAGGCCGAGGUGCCAAGUAGGCCUUCUAUUUAGUGUUGUUUUAUAAUACGAUUUAAGGUUUAUUAAAUUAAUAAUUUAUGUGGGCCUGAAGCCCAGUAUUCAAACUAAAUUGGGCGGAAGCGCGGGAUAAUUAGAUAUCUCAGCCCAACUCAACUGCUGUUUCUUCUACCGCUUCCAUUCUCCGCUCCUCGGGGGCUGCACCGAACAUUCUCUUCCUCCGCAUCACGAAGGGUCGUUCGCCACCCACCGUUCUCGUCGAACUCCACCCACCACCACCACCACCACAAUUCUCGUCCUUCGCUCCUCUUCGCGAUCCUUCCAUGGCAUUCGAGGGUGUUCGUGAGCCAUCUCUCCCUCCCUCCCUCUCUCUUUCACCACCAACAUGGAAGCUUCAAGCAGCAGCAGCAGCAGCAGCAGAAGCAGAAGCACUUCGUCUUCUUCUUCUCCUCCUCCUCCGCCGCAGCCGACGAUCUCCUACCGCAUCGGCGAAUCCAUGGCCAACGCCGCGUCCCCGGAGGCGAGGGACGACGCCAUUUCCUGCCUCGUCGUCCUCCUCACCUUCUGGAUCUUAGGUCUCUCUCUCUGUCUCUCUCUCUCUCUCUCUCUCUCUCUCUCUCUGUGCGUGUGUGUGUGUAUGUGUAUUUGGCUCUUUUUAUCAAUGUCGAUUUCGAGCAGUUUCGAUGGCGACGAUCCUUGGAUUCUACGGACCGGUCGACAUCGUAGUCGGCCCCAAUUACUCGCGGCUCCUCCGAGCCAGCUCGAUCUUCGUUCGGGAUAUAAAGGUCGGUAUCAAACCCUAAAUCCUUCGCUUCUUCAACCUUAAGCUUUGCUUGAUGGGGCUGCAUGAUCGUUCUCCUCCGAUCACAGGUGAAAGCGGAAGAGGGAUCAACGGAUGGGCCGAUGCUUUAUGGAUUUCGCGAGCCUCCGCCGCUUGAUGUGCGAGCCUCAUGGUUAGAGACCCACAAUGGAUCUGUUCCGGCGAAUUUUCACAAGGUACUCGAGGAACUAAAAAUUUGGUAUUGCAAUAUGUUUGUUGAAAAAACUCUUUGGAUUGUUACCUGCGUUUGUUUCCAAUAUGAAGUGGUAAAAAGCUCUUUUGCUUCUGAGCAGCUCGAGCUUCACUUUGUUUGCAACUCCAUUUUAGCGUGCCCAUUUACUGAAAGAGCUUGAUCUUGAUUUAAUAUAUGUUUGUGUGUCUUUGCAUGCAUGUUAGUCUAACAGGCCGAGCUUGAGCUUGAUUUGCCCUGGUUUAACUCAAGUCAAGUUUGAAUUAAGAUUAAGCUGACCUGCAUGCAAUCGAGCCGAACCGAGGCAGUUUACACCCCUACUGACUUGCAGGAUCAUUGUAGUUUUGUUUCUAAAUAGUAUAUAAACUCUUCGUGGAGCAGGAAUGGAUAUAUUAUUUCAACGAAGGAACGCAGAUAGAAAUCUUCUACAGCGUGAAGUCUGAAGGAUCUUAUCCAUUGAACCUCGUUAUUGCCCAAGGCAAGGAGAACCGCCAAUUUCAUCGUAACUUGUUAAUGCCUUGAAUUAUUUCCUUGUAUGAUUCAGUGAUUUGGUUCGGAAGUUAUUCACCAGUUAAGUACUAAUCGAGUUGUUCGUUUUGGAUCUGAGCGACUACAUGAUAACAUGUCUGUGAAUUUGACUUGGUGGAAGAUAGGAAAGUGCAACUAUCUUAUACAAAUCUCCAAUUCUGCUGCUUUAUUUUUAUUGCUUACUUCUUACUAUCUAUCUUGAUAGUCUCUUUUGGUGUUAGGUAAGGAAAAUCUUUUUCAGUGGGUUGAGAACCCAUUACGUCCUGAUACCACGUUGUCAUGGAACUUGAUACACGGUAAGGAUUAUAAGGUUGCUUGACUUUGUCAAAGAUGGUCGCGUAUAACUCAAGCUCUAAUGAAGUACACUGUAAUUACAGGAGAUGGUGUGAUUCACCAGAAAAUUGAAAAGCCUUCUGACUAUUAUGUUGCCGUGAGCAAUUUGCAUAAUUUGGAAAUAGAGGUGCAGUGUCUCCUCACUUGAAUAUGUGCAGAGAUUAAUUUUUGCAUUUUUCUUCUUUCACAGAAUCAAUCAUGACUUUUCAGCCUGAUUUCACUUACUUCCAGUUAAUAGGUACAAGUUAGUACUACAUUACACAUAUCUGUGGCGCAUGAAAAAGUAAUAGAAUGAUGUCUUCUUGAUUGAUAGAUGGCAUUUUUAAUGAGUUUGGGUCAUGCUUGUCAUAUUAUUAAGCUUGGUCAUGCUUGUCAUUUUAUCAUGCAAUUUCUUCAUUGCUCAAAUGGAGUUUUGUGUUGCAGGCACAGUUGACUUUUAGAAUUCAGGCUUUGUUCUACAAUACAACUGGAGCAUAUUUCAAGUGCUCGCUGGGUCACAGGCUAUGUGCUCUGAAAUUGUUCUUUCUCGAGGAGAAUGUAGCAAUCCUUGCAUCAGGCCCAAGAAAGGUGAAAAACUUCACUAGUCUUCUGCGUAUUACAUUUCCAACGCAGCUCUUUAUCUUGUGUAAAUUAACCUGCCAAAUAAUAUUCAGCUUCAGGAAGGGAAAUCUGAUGAAUGGUACAUUAAACUAUCAUAUGGUCCGCGAUGGAUAACUUAUUUUGUUGGAUCAGGUACGUGGUAAAGUACCCAUCUAUUCUCCAAUCUAUCUGCUACUCUAUGGGCCUGUUUGGCCAAUCUAGAGCUUCUGCAUAAAUGCUGCUAAAAUAGAGCUAUUGUAGAAGAAGCGGAAGCUUCAAUUGGAGAUCUAUUCUUCAGCCCAAAACGACUCGGCCUAUUUGUUCAGCCUUCUUUCUAAUAGCUUCUGCUUUUAAAAGUAGAGAAGCCAUUUGAGAUGCUAGGUCAAAUAGGUAGUAAUUAAUCUUUUUCUCUAUUCACGUGUAGGUCUAAUGACUCUAGCUAUUCUACUCAUCUACAAGAUAUUCACCAGUUUUCAAUUCAUGUUUGGAUAUAAUACGAGUCAUCAAACUACUUCAACCCCAAAUGAAACAAGCCCUCUACUGGCUAACAAAGAAGACGACGGUACGAGUUUGGGAUCAUCUUAUGAAUCAGUUUCUCAUGAUGAGGGAGAAGAUAUUGAGGAAUUUCUUAAAGCAGCACCAUCAAAGCCAUUAGAAGAGGUCGAGAGCAGUGAUCAGUCCCAACACCUUUGCGUGAUCUGCUGCGAAGCUCGGAAGGAUUGUUUCUUUCUUCCUUGUGGGCAUUCCACUACAUGCUAUACCUGUGGGUUGAGGUAAGAAUUUGACUUCAGAACUUUUAGCCUAGCUUCUGGAAGAACUCUCUGCUUCAAAAAGUAGCAAAUAAGCAUUUGCAAAGCGAAAGUCAUGAGCAUUGCUAUACGAAAAGCUGAAUAAGCUUUUUGGGACACUAAAAGUAUUAAAUGAUUUGAAACUUGUGCUUCUACUUGCCACUGAAAGCUGUUUGGGGGAUUUUAAUCAAAAGGCUCGUGACUGCUUUUCUUAUUCACUCUACUCAAACAACAAACCUCUAGACCGAACAAAGCCAAAAUCAGCACCACUCAAUGAAGUUCUUUGGUCAUAACAGUAUAACUGAAGAAAAUGCUUUGUAAGAUCAUGCAUAUCAAGUUUAUUUGGAGCUUGCAGGAUUUUGGAGGAGGCUCAGACGUGUCCUAUCUGUCGGAGGAAGAUGAAGAAAGUGAGAAGAAUCUUCACAGUCUAACACUCUGAAGCAAUGAAGCAAGCAUGCUUCCUUAUGCUGUAUCCUCUUGUGAACUCGUAAAUCAGCGUUGUAUAAAAUAAGAAACAUCCUCUUGUGAACUCGUAAAUCAGCAUUGUAUAAAAUAUGAAAUAUCCUCUUGUGAACUCGUAAAUCAGCAUUGUAUAAAAUAUGAAAUAUCCUCUUGUGAACUCGUAAAUCAGCAUUGUAUUAAAUAUGAAAUAUGCCAUCAUGUGAGUAUAUACAUAUGUUGCAAGCAUAUGAUACAUUCAGUUGAAGUAAGGCCAUUUACAGAAUAGAAACUAGCGGCAUGCUCAUGAUGUAUUAACGGGUAAAAACUCUAUUGGGUUGAGUCAUUUUGGAAUUUUGAUAAAAUAUUGUUUGAAUAAAACAUCUUCUAAGAAUCUAUCGUGAAUUAAAGGCUAGAGGCAAUGAGCUUCUAGGUAUAAGCGCAACGGAAAUCGAACCUCUAAUCUCGCAACAGCUAUUUGGGGUGCUUCAACAAAUCAAAACAAGCCACUAAACAAAUAUAGUUAACAUAUCUAACAUGGUGGGGACGACUACUAUAUACUGAACAACUUAAUGACAUCGACCUUUUAUCGUAUUAAACAAAUAUAUACAAAACCUCGUAUAUCUUCAUUAUUCAACUAAAAUAAAAUAAUCCAUUAAAAAAAGAGCAAAAAUUGAAUCGCCCACCGUGGGGCUCGAACCCACGACCACAAGGUUAAGAGCCUUGCGCUCUACCUACUGAGCUAGACGGGCUGGUUAAAUACAACAAUCAAUUUUUCAUAAAAAUAAUUUAUCACAAUGAUCAUCUAACUAAAAGAGCACCCCAGUUUCUCCUGAAAAUAACCCCGCCACCCACCUCGGGUCCCCAGCGCACGCAGGAGCACAACCCAACUCCCUCGUCUCCGAUCUCUCCACAUUUCCCCCGCACCCUGACAUGCCGCGAAGCACCCCGCUCCCUCUCCUAAUUUAGCUCACCGCCUCCCUCUCAUCGUAGUUCGUAAACCCCAUUCCCUACCCCCAUGGCUUCGUGGCUCAAGGUCGCCGAAGGUACCCCGAUCUCCUUCCCCUUCCCCUCCUCCUCCUCCUCCUCCUCCUCCAAUCUCCGAUCUCUUCCCCUUCGAUCCGUUUCCUACCGAUGCAUUGGAACCGGAUCAUCGAUCGCAUCUGUGGUUUUUUUAAAAAAAUUUGUACGAGGAAUUGGUUCGAUCGACCUCUCGCUCUUCGAAUGAUGCGUUGGGGUGCUGAGUUUGAUUUGUAACGAUGAAGUUUUAGUGUCGUUUGAUGUGGUAGAUCUCAGUGGAAAAGAGCGUGGUGUGUAAAUUUUACGCGUCAUGAUACGAGAUCUGGUUUGGGAUUAGCUAAUUAUACGUAGCUGAAUUGGUAUGGCUCCCGCGAUUCGUCUAUAAGCUAGUACUCUUCUGAUCUAAUUUCAUCUAUAUCUAGAUACUCGGUGCUGUUGAUUCACUCUUAUGUCAAUUACUAUUGCCUCAGAAUCAAAUACAGCUGCACUUGUGUCAUUUAGCUGGCGAAAUCAGUUUGGUCACUAGAUUCGUCCUCUCUUUUAGCGUAUGAUUACUUAUGAUUAAGAUGAAAACGGCGAAUUUGGUCAUACCUAGUUUUUUCUUUUGCUGGCAAACAAGAUUGCUGUACGUCUCAGAGCAUGCUUAAGAAGUCAAUUGAUACAAAUUGAAGAUUCUGCAAGAGUAAGACGAAAAAGAGUAGUUAAGUAGAUAUAAUGGCUUCUUGUGCAGAUGCCAGUGGAAGCUUCCAAAUCAUUUUGAUCAAAUUUUGCUGCACUAACUAGUUCGCCGAAGGGGUACUCUUUAGCCUCAGUUGUUCUUGGUUUAGUUGAAUAAACCUUGUUUGAGGUAGUAAUAUGCCUUUUUUAAACAAGAGUUGAACAUAAUUAGAGUGUUUGGGAUACUCGGACCUAAACAGGCAUGUUUAAUAUCAUCCAUUUUGACAUACAUGCUGUUGAUCUGCUUUGGGAUUUUUAGUUGUUUUUCUUAUUCAUGUGCUUCCCUCAUACUUCUUUAUAUGUUAUUUAUUUUAUUGUGUUCUUUUUUUUUCUUUUUUCUUUUUUGGUUGUUUAGCAUUUUUGUGUAUAGUAUCUGCAUAGCUUUACUCUUGCAACAAGCAUAAAGUUUUAGUACGAAGAUGCUAAGAUUUUCAAAUGGCCUAAGCAGACCUACUAGAAGUUGUUGAUCGGCGAGCGAAACUUGUUGUUAGUGAGUUGUCAGAGGAGCAGUCUGAAUCACAGGCUCCAGGUACAUAGACCUUUCUUCCUGGAACACCGGCUUGUUGUGUGCUACCUUUCUAGCAAAGAGCUAACAUUGUGGUUCCUUUGGUAUAUUCACCUUUUUUUUUUUGGCCACUAUGUCUAUUUCUUAUGCUCUUUUUUGCCUUUUCCUCUACGAUAAGCUACCAAUGGUCAAGACAGUCAAUCCCGGAAGACGAGAUCACGGGAAAAGGUCAUUGGUUAAGUUACAACGUGCUUCCAGAAUAUUAGCCUUAUUAUUUUUAUUCCAAUCCAUAAAUGAUUCACUAUAUUUACUGUUCUAUAUAAUUUUUGCUUGCAGAGUCAAUUAAAGUUCUCCAACAUUGAAAAAUCUAAAAGCAUACUACCUCAAGCUGACCGGAAAAGCAAACAGUUAUUAGUUCCACAUGGAAAAGUUGAUGAAAUCAGUGCCUCUAAAACUGAUGAUGUUAAUAAUAAUGAAUCUACUAAUGCACCAGCAUCUGCUAAUCAGAAAGAUGCAGCAGUAUUAGUUACUGAAAAUGAGAGUGGUGAAAACACUGUUGACAAUAUGGUCGAAGUCCCACUGACAGAAGACAACAUUGAGAGCGCAGCUUCCUCUGCUAACCAGGAUGCUCUGGCUACAACUUCAACAGAUGAGAAUGAAGGGUUUCCUCUGCUGGCAGACAGGGAGAUCGAAGUUGACAGUGGAGAUCAUUCCACCAAUGGUGAUCUGACUGUCAGUGCGGUGGGAGAAAAUAUUUCCUUGACUGUUAACCAAGAGAAAACUGUUCCUGAAAUAGUUGAGAAACAGAGCAAUAGUCAUUCCCAAGAAACUGAGCCGGAUAUAAUAGAGACCUCACAAAAUGUAAACAAUCAGCAAGAGAAUAAAACGGAUGCCUCUGCCAUGAAAGUUCAGGACCAACUUGAUGAGGUAGUGUUCCUGUUAUCUGAAAAGGUCACACUUGGCUGCAUGCUUAUGUUGGUGGCCUAUAGAAUACUGUUGGCUGAUUGUUUGGCUUGUUUUGCAGGCUCAAGGAUUGCUUAAGACAGCCGUUAAAACUGGUCAAGCAAAAGAGGCUAGAUUAGCCCGGGUAAGGAACAUCAUAAAAUUUCUGUCCAAACUUUUAUGUGUUGUAGAAGCUGACUUGUAAAUGCAUUAUUAAACAUGUUCAUUUGCUGUGCAUGCGUACAUUUUGCUCUUUUCCAGACAUGUAAAGUUGUGUUUAUUUAUUAAAUUCAUGUUAUUCUUGCAAGAUUUUUUGGACAAGAUUUAGAACACGUGUUUGGAAAGGCAUGCAGCUUAUCUAUCUAGUCACCCAACUUUGGAAGAACAUGUCAUUCCAAACAAGCUCAAAGCAAUGGAUUUUUUUUUUUUCUUAUGGGAAUUGCGUCUCUCUUUUAUUUAGUUUUGGCCUUAAACUGUCUUCCCAUCUACUUGGGCGUAGCUUUUAGUAAGGCUUUUACUGGCUUUUGAUGAGGUUGAUGUUGUAAAUCUAAAUAAGCAGUUUCUUCAGUAGUUGCCAAACAACUAAUGGUGGUAUUUGUUAUUUCAUAUAGUCGAGCAUUUUAAAAUAUUUGGUCAUAUAAUAAAAUCAAUUUGCAUAAUGUGUAAAAUAAAUAUAGCCGUGUACUUCGUAUCUUGACUUAUAUCAUUUGGUUCUUUGAACCCAUAUCAAUUUCUUAUAUAUCUUUCAUUAUUUGUUGAUCCACUCUCUUGUUGAUCGACAGGUUUGUGCUGGACUUCAAUCCCGUCUUCAAGAAUACAAAUCAGAGAACGCACAGCUUGAGGAACUUCUUGUUCAAGAGGUAAAACUGUUUUUUUUUUUAAAUUUUUUAAUUUUUCUAAGUGAAACACCAAUUAUUAAUUUCAUUAUGAUUUAUGAAACAUGAAACAGAGAGAGAGGAAUAGUUCAUGUGAAGCUCACAUAAAGCAGCUUCAACAUGAUUUAUCUGCAUCCAGGAUGGAAGCAGCAAGAGUGGAGUCAAAUAUGGCUGAUGCUUUGGCUUCAAAAAAUUCUGAAAUUGAAUCUCUUGUCAGUUCUAUGGAUGCUAUGAAGAAACAAGCUGCUGCUUCUGAAGGAAAGCUUGCCUCUGUACAGGUGCCUUUUUCUUGCAGUUUCCUUCAUUUGAGGGUUCAUAAAGAAAUAAUAUUUACAUUGUGUCUCCAGCAUUCUUGUUUUAACAUGGUGUCUCCAGCAUUCUUUUCAAAAUAUUAGGACAACGAAAUUACACUUGCCUUUUCUUAAAAAGAGGUUCAUGGUGCCAAAUGGUGUAACAAUAUUAUAAGUCGGUGAAACCAAUAUCUGAAUUGUGAUUAAACCUCUUAAAAGUCCCAGGCAUAACACAAACUCUUUUAUUUGGCUUUUACUCAAUUCUCUGGUAUCUGAAUUGUAUAUAAACAUCUUAGGAAUCCAAGGCACUCCAAUACCACAAUACUAAUGCGAACUCUAAUAUUUAGCUUAUAUAUUUAAGAUAAUUUAGAAUAGUUGGAUACUUGGAUGCUUCUAUGUCAAUAUUCAUGCCUUCUUAGCAUGCUUCUGAAUCUGCUUUGUAAGCCGAUAUUUUUAUUUGGAUUUCCCACAAUCUUAGGCUUUCAAUCAUCAUGAAGCAAAACGAGUUCUUCCUUAUUUUACACAUCUUCAUAUCUCUUAAUUUUUGAAGAUCCACCACCUUGUCACAUUUUAUACUGUUUAAACCAGGCAGACUUGGAGAAUUUGAGGAGAAACCGUGAACUGACAGAGACUCGGAUGAUCCAGGUAUAUAAUUCUUAGAUUUAGAGAGAAUUAGGUUUUACUGUGAUGUUACUUUAACGUCCUUUCUAAGAAUAUUAACAAUUUGUCUUUUUGCAUGUUAUAGGCUCUAAGAGAGGAACUUGCUUCUGCAGAGCGCAGAGCUGAAGAAGAGCGUACUGCACAUAAUGCCACAAAGAUGGUAUUUCCUUAAAACUGUUGGAUGUUUUCCCAUUAUCAUCCCUUCUCUUUUCCCCUCCAUUUUUGGCUUAUGAUCAGGCAUUAUACAGACAGCAGUAGAGAGAGAGGUAGAGCUAGAGCACCGGGCUGUUGAGGCAUCAAAUGCUCUUGCUAGAAUCCAGGUAAUUUAAUGAAGUACAAGUAAGAAUUUGCAUGUUAUCUUUUCUCAGUGAAAGACCUUACCGGGGUCUUAUCUUCUUCUGCUUUUCACUAGUAAGCCCUUCUUAGGGCAUAGGGCUUUUCAAGGAGAGAGAUUUAAUUUCUUUUCCUUUCUCACAAGACCAUCAAUUUUCCCGGUUUUUGACGACCUGUGUUGUUCUCCACAUUAUCACUAGCCAAAAUUACUUGCUAUUUGCAUUUGUAUCUUUAUGCUAUUGAAAGUGAUCACUUGGCUGCUUCUCAUCUAUCAAGUCUUCGUAGUUCUAAUCACCCAAGAUGAGCUGAACAAACCCUAUUAACUUAUAUCUUUGUGUUACUCAUUGCAUUAGGUGUUCCAAAAAAAUAGUUACUUUGUUUCACAAACAUCUAUUUAGCGUGUUUAUUAGAUUUUGACGAGCUCAUUAGUCUUCAGAGAGCUGCAGAUGAAAGCACAUCAAGGGCAACUGAAUUGGAGCAGAAAGUGGCUUUGCUUGAGGUAUUUUGGGUCUUUCAUUGCUCAUUAGCUUUCAGGAAGUUUUAAACUGGUGAACUUUUUGAUUUCUGAUGGAUAUCCCUAUAUUACCCUAGGUUGAAAAUACAUCGCUGCAGCAAGAGUUACAAGACAUGGAAGCUCGUAACCGCCGCUUCCAGAAGAAGCCUUCUGAAGAAGCUAACCAAAUUCUUCAGGUAAGAAGCACUGUAGUACAACGUUCAAAGAUGCUGCACUGACAUCAUUUUAUUUCAAUAUCAUGCUACCUUGUUGAAAAUCUUGUGCAUUUCAAAAUAAAGAUGCAGGCAUGGCAGGAAGAAGCCGAACGUGCGCGUCAUGGCCAAAGAGAAGCAGAAAACAAGCUUUCUUCUUUGGAGGUAAUCGUUUGUCUUUACUACGGAAGUUCGUAUCUUCUUUUUUGAACUUUAAAUACCUUUCUGAAAGUACACUCUUGUCUUUACUAUGAAAGUUCUUAUCUUCUCUUUUGAAGUUUAGAUACCAUUCUGAAAGUGUGCACUCUCAGUUUACUUUUCAAUGAAGAAAAAUUCAUGGGUAUAGAGCUGAAAAUCUUGGUAGCGCUAAAAUACUGCUAAAACUAGUCAAGACAGUAAUUUGAAAUUUAUGCUUUAAAAAUUGUAGUACUCUUAUUAUCUUCUUUUUUUUUUUUUGGAAUGGACAUGAUUCUUUAAUUGUACUGUUCACUUUUGACUGGCAAUUAUCAUUUGCAACAUCUUCAUUUAUCACAUGACAGGUUGAGCUACAGAAGAUGCGAGUAGAAAUGGCUGGCAUGAAAAGGGACGCCGAGCAUUAUUCAAGACAGGUAAGUUAAUUGCUCUGCCUUUUUCUUGUGAGUAAACAGGCUAAUCUAAACAUUUCAUGCUAGUACUCUGCCCAAUUGGAAACUCCAUUAUUAAAAUUUCUCCUCUUGGAGACCAGUCAUCUGCCUCCAAAUUAUGAGAUGAUAAAACAGUUUCAUGACUUCAUGAUGAUUCUAUCUUUUAAGGCCAUCAAAAUAUCCUCGAAGAGAAAGAUGACAGCGGAAAUUUAAAUCUGAUACACAAGUUUCCAUAUUGCUUUCGAUAAAAAUGAUGAUAUCUAGGAUAAAGGAAGAGGAUAACUCUGAGGCUUGAUGUACAAUGGAGAGUUAAAUGAAUGGCCAUCUGAGCAACCAUACGAUGAAUUGGAACUUAGCAAAUUGCUUGUGAACUGGAAAGUGUCAUGAUAAAUUGAAUAGUAAGAUUAUGAGUAAAAGGUUAUGUAGGUUGAGUAGAUCUGGACUAUGAAGAAAUCAGUUUAGUUGCCUUUUUAGGACGUCUUACUGAUACAGCUUGUGGUGGUGAUAUGCAACAUGAAAAUAUAUGCUUUGUCUGUCGUUUUUGAGACCAAUGACAGGAAAUAUGAUCGCUGUCUACAGUAUAUAAUCCUUCUUUUUCUCCCUCUCUCUCUUUCUCUAGCAAACACAAAAGCACUGGUGCAUAGAUGCCCGUGCACAUACACAAAAACACAUUCUUGACACCUUAUCUUACAUUGACUAUGGCAUAAAACUCUCGAUCUUCUUUUGGCAGGAGCAUAUAGAAUUAGAGAAGCGAUAUCGUGAACUGACCGACUUGCUGGUAUGCCAUGGCUCGAAUUUUAUACCCUUCAAGGAAAUGUUUCCUUCAACAUUCUAGAGUUUGACUCUUCAUUUGAUCUUACAUGCAUGUGUUUCAACAUAUUUCAGUACCAUAAGCAAACCCAACUAGAAUCCAUGGCCAGUGAAAAAGCUGCGUUGGAGUUUCAACUAGAGAAAGAGAUAAGGCGCCUUCAAGAAGCACAGGUUAGCGAUCAGCUUCUCUCCUGAUUUUGCUAAGAAACGGUUUCUUGUAUAUGUUCUUAUCACAUCAAAACUCAUCAUAUGAUGCUAUGGUGACUUUGAUUAUCUGUUUGAUAGGUAGAAGCCGAAAGGAGUAGAGUUGCGCGCAGAUCAGUGUCAUCAUGGGAAGAAGAUACUGAUAUAAAAGCACUCGAGUAUGCAGUCCUUUCUCAGUAACCGCAGGUAUGACUAGACCUGAGCAAAUCCUAGGUUGAGCAUGGUCAAGAUCAUGGAUUAAGAAAAAAUUUCAUGGCCCGGGAUUUAGCUGCUUUUUUAAGCCUGAGACAGGUCCAGUGAGCUCAAAAAUGGUUGCGCUGGGUCAACAAAAGAAUGUGAAGACCUGAGCUUGAGCUGAAUUUUCUUGGGCAUCAGAUUUUGAGACUCACCUGGCCCGGUGAAAUGGGUUGAUUCUUCUGACUGGGCCAAAAAAACUGGGCCUGGCAGGUGGGGCCAGGUGGCUUGGACCUUCUUUUGCUCAGAUCUAGAUGUAUCUUUUCAUGCAUGGAUAUGAUUCUCGUAAAUCACUGGACAACUAAUAGGUGCAUUACAGGCCUCUACCUUUACACCACCGGCAUAUGGCUGCAGCAAGCAUACAAGUCUCUGUUCUUCUCUCUCGCUUCCCCCCUCUCUCAACUUCCCCCUUCCUGCCACCCCACCCCCCAAAAAAACCUCCUUUUUGGUUUCAUUAUUUGUUUUGAUAUUUUCUCUUGCAGUUGCAAAAGGCUGCUAAGCUUCUAGACUCAGGAGCCGUACGGGCUACUAGAUUUUUGUGGCGGUAUCCCGUUGCUAGAGUCAUCCUACUCUUCUAUCUGGCAAGAACUUCCUUCUUUUUCACUUUCUCUAUCUAUUUUACUUUCUCUAUCUAAUGCGUAUAAAUCGGAAAAAGCCUCUAAACUGCGUUCGCAUAUGAUUAUGUGCAGGUGUUUGUGCAUCUCUUCUUGAUGUAUCUCUUACAUCGCUUGCAGGUGUGCAUGCUUUUUAGGCUACACAAUCACCGUUAUGAUUUUAAUUGUUUUGUUGUAGGAAAUUGUCUUUCGGAGACAAUCAGUUCUUUUCUCGUAACAAUUCUCAGAGUCCCUCGUGGUUGUCUGAUUGAAUCUUUCAAAAAUUAGGACCUCCAUUGAAAACAUUGCUUCUUAAGAAGCCGUGUAUGUUGUAGCAUGUUCGUAAUAUGUAUAUAUGUUUUUUAAUUCUCAGGAACAAGCCGACGAUAUUUCUUCCAGAGAAGUUGCAGCAUCUCUCGGACUCGGCAACUCAAGCUUGCCGUAGGUUUCCUCGUAGUUGCUCAUCCCGAGGCCCAUUCCUUUCUAAGGGGAUCUCUGGGGAUAAGAAAACUACUUAUGGCGGAUGCCCUCCCUCUUUUAUUUUUUACCCCUCUUCUGUAAAUCUGUUCUUGUUAUUUUGCUACUCUUUAAUCCAUUCUUUGAAGUUUCAUAUGAACCAACAAUUUGCUUCAGAUAUAUAUAGUGACAAAAAGAAGAUUCGUAUACAAUUGUAUGAAGGAAGCUUAUUUUAUGACUUCUUGAUUGUUCAUCUCUGUUAAGAUUAUUGGAUUCCGCUCAAAAUGUUGGGAUUGAACGUGAUUUAAUUUGGAAAAAUAUCUCUUCCUAAUCCAAGGGGGUCUCAGCCCCUUGUUUUGAAGUCAUUUGACCAACCCGUUGGAAUCUCUGGUUUUUGCGUAUCAACCCCAGUUUUCCCUUAUAGUGAUCUUUUUGUUUUGUUUUGUUUUGUUUUUAAUUUUUGUUUUGAUUUUUUUUUUUCUUUUUUUUUGGUCUCCCUUGGGACAAUGCCUGUGUGUCUCGCGCCCCUGAGUUUGUGAGGAAUUAAAUAAUUUAAAAUUGUUUAUAAUAUUUUUUUAAUAUUUUUAAAUUGUAGUUGGUAGUAACCGUAAUUUAAACAUGUAAAAAAAAUAAAAAAAUAUUCUUAAAAUUUUUUAGUUUUUUAUGGUAUAUUAAUAAAACUUUUAGUUAUUACGUUGUCAAAUUAAGUCUUAUUUAUGGUAUAUUAANUUAUAGAAUUUCACCUAAUUUUUUAGUUUUUUAUGGUAUAUUAAUAAAACUUUUAGUUAUUACGUUGUCAAAUUAAGUCUUAUUUAUGGUAUAUUAAUAAAAGAAUGAAAGAAAAAUUAGGUGAAAUUCUAUAAAAAUAUAAUAAUUAUUUAUGAAUACUUAAUAAAACAUAAUUAUUACUAUUGGUAUUGCAUAUUAAAUAUUUUCAAAACAAAUUAUGGUCCGUGACUCCGUGUUUAUCCUUUUCGUGUCGAGAAGAGAAUACGCGAGGCUUUCUCCCUUUCUUCGGCUCCACACACCUUUGUGGCUCCUCCCCCAAAAAAGAAAAAAAAAAAAAGAAAAAAAGGAAAAAUCCCAAAUUUAAAACCCUAAUUCCCCUCUAAGGUCUCUUCGUUCCAAAUUAAGCACACCAAUUUGGUGCUCCGCCCCCAAAGCUUCGAUCGAGAUCCAUCGCGGCGCCGAUCGCCGUCCCAUCGACCCGUGCCUCUACGAUUUCGCCCUCUUCUAGCUAGGGUUUCCAUCGAUCGGGGGCGAAAUCUAGGCUUUCACGAGGCAUGAGGUUUGAUGGAUGAUGAACGAUGCCGGAGCUGCGUAGCGGAGUGCGCAGGGGCCGAGCGAAGGCGAAUCCCGUAGCCCCGGCCGAGAGGCCGACUAAUCGGCGGCGGAGGGCGGUGCGGAACAAUCCCCCGGUCGCCGACGAGGAGGCUGCGCCGGCGCCGGCGAGGGCGGCGGACGAGAUCGGGCUCGCGGAGGGGGCGGGCGAAGGUGGUGGGGGCUUGGUUGGGGACGACAACAAGGAAGGGGUUGGGGAGAGGAGGAUGGAUGGUUGCGAUAGCGGGGGAAAGAGCGCGGAUAAGCUCCCCGGCGGUGAAGAUGAGGGGAGCACCGCUCCCCUUCCGGAAAAGGUGAGGGCUUUUUGCCAAUUUUGCGGUAUUUUUGGUGUUCCCUGAAAAUUUCUUGUGGUAUUUCCACUGGGAAUUGUAAGAAUUUCUUUAGAAGAAAAAAUUUGUUAGGGCGUUGCUGUUUCUCGGAUCAUCUAAAUAGUUUCUCCUUUGAUUCAGGUCCAAAUUGGCAAUUCACCAACUUAUAGAAUCGAGAGGAAGCUGGGAAAAGGAGGAUUUGGCCAAGUUUAUGUCGGCCGUCGUAUUACAGGAGCCAAUACAGCCGAUAGAAACGGUUCGAUGGCUUUAGAGGUGUGCAAUUUGUACUUGUUGUUGAAUUGUUGUUGUGGCAAAAUAACCAGUAGUUUUGUGAUUUUAACUUCUUGUAGUGUUGUCGUGGCGAAACAACCAAUAGCUUUUCUAGCAAUGGAUAAUGUUCUCUUGUCGUGUGCUAGGUGGCAUUAAAAUUUGAGCACCGAAGCAGCAAAGGAUGUAAUUACGGACCGCCUUAUGAAUGGCAAGUCUACAAGUAAGGGAAAUUGCAGCCUCUCCUCUUUUUAUGAGUUAACAUAACCUGAGUAUGAAUAAUAUUUACUUGUCUAAGACUACAUGAACUUUUCAUGUAGCACUCUCGGGGGGAUACAUGGGGUUCCGAGGGUCCACUUCAAAGGUCGCCAAGGGGAUUACUAUGUCAUGGUAAUUCGCUAUACUCAUGACCUUUCUGGACAUGUAAAUUUCUGUCUUCUACACUUGAUGCUAAAUGUCAGUUGCAUGUUGCAGGUUAUGGAUAUGCUUGGUCCAAGUCUUUGGGAUGUUUGGAAUAAUAAUUCCCACACGUGAGUUGUUUUAUCUCAAAACUUACGGAUUAAUUAAGUGUAUUGAAAUUUUAUUGUAACUUUAGCACUUACCUUUUCCAAAUUUGUGCAGAAUGUCCGUUGAAAUGGUUGCAUGUAUUGCUAUUGAAGCAAUCUCCAUACUAGAAAAGAUGCAUUCUAAAGGGUGUGUCACUAUUCUAAAUUGUUUUGACUACUCUCUUCGCCUUCUACUAUCAAAAAUCUUAUUAUUCUGUGUUGGCCACGAUUCGUGUGUAAUUGCAAAUUGUUAAUAAUGGCAGAUAUGUUCAUGGUGAUGUGAAGCCAGAAAACUUCUUACUUGGGCCGCCAGGAACUCCAGAAGAAAAGAAGCUCUUUCUUGUUGAUCUUGGAUUAGGUAUUAGUUGCGUUUAUUUGAUACAGAGUGGCAUGAUAUGUGGUUCUUUAUAUUCAUAUGUUCCGGACUUGUUGAUUGAUCAAUUUUUUGAAUAUUUUAUUGACAGCUACCAAGUGGAGGGAUAGUACAACUGGUCUGCACGUCGAGUAUGAUCAGAGACCAGAUGUUUUCAGGUUUUGUUCAUGGACUCCAUUGUCUCUCACGCCAUUGGACUCUUAUUAAAAGAUUUUAGACUCAGUUGCUCAUUUUAGAUCGUUCUUAUUGUUACAGUGUGGGUCAUAUGUUAUUACAAAUUGAUAUUGCAGGGGAACGGUGCGUUAUGCUAGUGUUCAUGCUCAUCUAGGAAGAAUAGGAAGUAGAAGAGAUGAUUUAGAAUCCCUUGCUUAUACACUGAUCUUUCUUCUUCGAGGCCGUCUACCUUGGCAAGGAUAUCAGGUAUUCUACUGUCUACUGAUAUAUAAUUAUUCAAAAUACGAGAAUUUUUCUCCCCCAUGCUUAGUGCACAAGAUUUCUCUUUUCAGGGAGAAAAUAAAGGUUUCCUUGUCUGCAAAAAGAAGAUGGCUACAUCACCAGAAUCUCUUUGUUGCUUUUGCCCAUCACCCUUCAGACAGUUUGUUGAGUAUGUGGUCAACUUAAAAUUUGACGAGGAACCUAAUUAUGCGAAGUGCAUAUCUCUUUUUGAUGGCAUAGUAGGUCCAAAUCCAGAUAUCAGGCCAAUAAAUACUGAAGGAGCUCAAAAGGUACAUCAAUGAUCUUUUCUUCCCCCUCUUAUUUGAAGAGGGAAAUGUGUUACUCUGGGACUAUAAAGUGCCUAAUCUUCAUUUGAACUUUGUAAAGCUUAUAUAUCAGGUUGGUCAAAAGAGAGGUCGCUUGAUGAUGGAAGAAGAGGAUGACGAGCAACCAAAGAAGAAGGUUAGGAUGGGAAUGCCUGCAACACAGUGGAUAAGUGUUUACAAUGCCCGGCGACCUAUGAAGCAGAGGUGAUUAGUAUUACUAUUUUGUGUUUACGCUUGAUAAAUUUUAGUUAGGAGAUUGGAGAAAUAUUUAAUUCCUAACUUUAUGCUUGCAGAUACCACUACAAUGUAGCAGAUUCGAGGCUUGUUCAGCAUAUUGAAAAAGGAAAUGAAGAUGGCUUAUAUAUCAGUUGCAUUUCAUCUUGUUCGAAUCUCUGGGCCCUAAUUAUGGAUGCAGGCACUGGUUUCAAUUCCCAAGCUUAUGAACUCUCACCACAAUUUCUUCACAAAGUGAGUUACGCUUGCACUAAUUUUAACCUUAUUGCUCUGGAAAAUGCUUUAAUAUUUUAAGGUUGUCAUUUUUCUACCUUUUAUUUUAUCUUCAAGUUUGUAAGUGUCUAAGAUACCUGUUUAAAUUUUUUGAAGGAAUGGAUUAUGGAUCAAUGGGAGAGAAACUACUAUAUUACUGCACUUGCUGGGGCAAACAAUGGAAGCUCCUUGGUAGUAAUGUCCAAAGGUAAAUUAGAGUAAAAUCUUUACCGCUUUAGGAAUUUUUGCCAUAAAUAAAGCUAUCAUACUGAUAGCCUAUCUCUUGAUUGAUCUUCUUCCAGGUACACAGUAUGCACAGCAGUCCUAUAAAGUUAGUGACUCCUUUCCUUUCAAAUGGAUAAAUAAAAAAUGGAAAGAGGGUUUCUAUGUCACUGCCAUGGCGACUGCUGGAAGCAGAUGGGGAGUUGUCAUGUCUCGGAAUGCAGGAUUCUCUGAUCAGGUAUUAGUCCUUCUGUCUUUUUCUUUUUUCUUUUUUUUUUUCUUUCAGAUUUACUAGUUUGUUUUCUCCUCCUCUUUUAGUUUUGCAAAGUACCAAGUGAGCUUUGAAAACUUAUACAAAUUUAUCAUGCUCUUUUGCCAGGUUGUUGAACUUGACUUCUUAUAUCCUAGUGAGGGUAUUCAUAGGAGGUGGGACAAUGGCUAUCGUAUAACAUCAACUGCUGCCACGUGGGACCAGGCCGCAUUCGUUUUGAGUGUACCAAGAAGGAAGCCCACGGAUGAAACUCAAGAGACACUAAGAACAUCUGCUUUUCCUAGCCAGCAUGUGAAGGUGGGUGUGUUACAUUUAAUUGUUUAAUUGCUUUUGUCUUGUAAUUGAUUUAAAUAUUGCAUAUAAUAUAUGGAUAGCCAAUGCACUCUCCUGUUGUCGCAACUUGAUCACUGAACUUUCACUUAAACAGCUUAGUGCCUAAAUAUCUAAUUUCUAAUAUUGCAACUCCAAACUUGACUGAAAAAAAGGAAGAAAAAAAUUCUUAUCUACGUUGACCUUUUGCUGUAAAAUAACCUUUUUAAUCCAAUAUCAAGUAAACCAAAAUAAGGAACCCAUUUUACAAGAGAAGUGGUAAAUUGGGCAAUUUACAAGAAGAAAAAAGAUUUUUUUUUAGAUGCCAGGGAUGGAAUUGCACUAUACGAGAAACAUCAGGGACUAAGUGUUGAAGUAAAAAGUUAGGGAUUAAGUUAAAGUAAGAAGUUAGGGACUAACUCACUGUAUCUGUAGGCAUUAUUCCUGUAUUUGUUUACAAAACAUGUCUAGUUGCUCUUUUCUUAUAAGCUGGAAACUCUGGUUAUUGCAGGAGAAGUGGGCAAAGAACCUCUACAUUGCAUCUGUUUGCUAUGGCCGCACAGUCUCAUAAUUUUACGUCAUUAUAUGUGGGGGUUUUUGAAGCUGUCUGAUCAACUUUAAAGUCGUGUUACUCUUGUAGUACGAGCGUGUUGCCCGCAUUAUGCAUCUUCUCUUUGUAUGUUGUGGCCCUUAUUUCAAUCUUAAGUAUUACCAUUUCACUUACCAGCUAAAGCUAACACAUCAUUAGUAUUACUGCCAAGGUUAAAAGAUGCCUCCCAUGAGCUGUCAAAUUUUGAUUGGUCUGUAGGCAUUUUUAAUUAUUAUUAAGCUUGUAUAGUUUAUGUUUCAGUGCCACUGGCAUUCACUUUAUUAGCCAGUUAUUGUCUGACUAUGCUGCAACUGAUAGCAUUUGUGCUCUUCUUCCUUAUGUUUUUUCAUAUCAGAACUUUGGAAUUUUAUUUUGAAGGAUUAAUAAUUGCUUGUUUAGAUUUUGUCUUGUUAGCUGACAAAUAUUUGGUUGCUUGAAUAUUCUUUCUCUAGUAUGAGGCUAGUCCUUAAGCAUAUGUUGUACAUUAUCUUGCUAGGAGUCUAUAUAGGUAUCUUCUUGUAUUUGCCUAUUAAACCUCGAAAUUGAGGUCAAUUCCCUUUUUUUACACAUCCUGAAUUAUUCACAUCUUGUUGAGAAGAUAUUGGGGUAUCAUCUUUUGUAAGGUCAUGUAAUACUGCUACAAUGUAUGAAAUUUCUUCUGUUCCCUGCUACUAUAAUUUAGUAUCUAUUUGGGGGAUAUACUUGCUUUUUUUUUUCUUUUCUGUAUUUUCUCGGGAUUGAUAUCUUAUUAUAAUGACAAUGUCCUCCUGUUAUAUGUGAAAACAUAUCCUUUAUCAAGUAUAUCACUGUAUUGCUUCUGUAUUAACUGAGUUUCAGCCGAUCAGAAUGUCUCCAGUAAAAGAGCCAGCCGCCCAAUUCACUAGGCUCACUAGGCUCUCACAAGUGGGCAGACCUACUACCUGUUUUUGCUAAUCAUAUGUGCUCAAAUCAGAGAGACAACUGGGUGACAACUGAGUCACCUGCUUCAAUCUUUGUUCUCUUUUUCCUUGUGGAUUUCCUUUCUUAUUUUACAGCAGGAAAGGUGUGCUCAUGCCUCCUGGUUCAUCUUCUAAACAGCAAACUAUAUGACAGGUAAGUUUGCAGUCAAAUGCUUGCGAUGAGAUAUGCAUAUCACUGCUGUUUUAUCUUAAAAUCAGAUGUCCAAAUGAUGAAAUCUCUUCAUAGUUCAUUAGAAUUUAUGUAGUUAUCAAUCUGGAUUUGCCACAUCUUUCAGCUUACAUUUACGCAGUCUUUUAUUCCUCAUGAAUAAUCUUUCUUUGGUUGUCUAAUUAUUUAAAUCAUCUUUUGCAAUUUAGCUGUGCACUCUAAUAUACAAAUAUAUCUAACAUGUUUGAUGCCUUAGGUUCCGCCUUGUUGGUACAAAUAUAUCUAACGUGUUUGAUGCCUUAGGUUCCACCUUGUUGGUUGGUUUUCAAAGCUGCAGCUUAAAGCCUCACUUGUAAUUCUAAAUUUCUUUUUAAUUUUAUGUUCGAUUUCUAUGUAUUGGAUUUGCCAGUGGAUGGGAGGUUGGUUGCAGACUCAAAUUCAACCAGACUCAAGUUUGAAAUAUGUGUUUUUGACUUUCACAUGUAUGGGAUUUGUUUGGCCUGGAAACAAUUUUACAAUAACUUACUCUCACUUUUUUCUUCCAAAAAUAAUGAGAGUUUGGAAACAAACCAACAAGACAAACGGAGAAGUCCGUCCACUGAUGUAUUCAAUUGCAUAAUAUUUAGUUACAGAAAACAAAAAUAGAAAUACAAGUGGUAGUAAAUGAUUACUUGUUUUUGUGGUUUCAUGUGGUUACCUUCCAUUACUUAGACAACCUUUCGAAUUGUUGAUGACGUGUGCGAUGCUAGAUUGUCAAAUGUUGCUGCCUCGAUAAAGACUAAAAAGAGCAUUGAUAGGUUGAAGUUGCUCAAUUGACUAAAUUUUUAAUGGAUUGGAUGAAGGUACUAUAUUAGUAUCUCUUUUAUCAUUAUCUGCCUUACACCAAUCCUCCCUAUAUUCUUCAUGCAGUUUUUGCUGUUUUUACUUUUCAGGCACUUAUAAUUGCUGGAUUUGGAGACUCGAGUAUUCCUCUCGUAAAUCUUACCCUGUAUUUGAGAAGUUCUUCCUUUCUUAGGCUGGCAUCCCAUAUAAUUCUGCAGAUAUUUUGCAAGUUCACACCCACAAAAUUUUCUUGAUCACUUUCACUCUGGUUUGAAGUGUACAGUGUGCUCCAUCUCUCUCCCUGUGAAAGUGCUCAGAAAAUAAAGAUGAUUUCUCUACUGGUGUUGAAUUCUUUUGGUGUUUUAUGCAGUCCUAAAGGAAUGUUUGUUCACUUAGCAAGGCUAUUCGAUUUUGUUUCACUUUUUGUUUGCACCCUUCCGUUGUUUUUACUCUACUCGGUCGUAACUAAACGAGUUUAUAAUUUUGCUAGCCCCUAGGUAUCUAAUGAUCUUCGGCCUAUGAUGCAGCUUCUAGUGGUCUUGCAAUUAUUGUUGCGAGACGGCACCUCUUGCUGUGGAAUGCUUUCGGUCGAACCCCAAGGUUCACUUUACAGAUCCCAACAGGACUCGACCAUUAGGCUAUCGACUUUCGGCGUUUGCCCGUGAAAUUGUGCUUCUUAACUACAUGAAGAGGAAAAUAGGAUAGUCUUCUUUUGAAGAAGAGAAAUAAGGGGAGCUGCGCCGGUGCAGACAUUCGUGCUUAUAUACAUGGUGCCUACCAUUACCAGUAGGGAUUGGGCUUAGCUGUUGGUACCGAAGCAAAAAUUUCUCGAGCAGCACGGAUGUAUUUGUUUUCAUGGUUCAGAAGGUUCAAAAUUUCAAAAGUGCUUUUAAUCUUCUCGCGGGAAGGGGGGGAACCGGGUGAUGCUCAAAUUCCAAACCCGUGUAGUCCACAAAACUGGGAAUAUGUAUAUCUUUUUUAUUUGAUUAUGAUGCGAUAAUCGGUCGAUGGGAAGUAUGGUUGAAAUUUUCGAAAAAGCAUAAUAACCGCUUCAAAAAUGGCUUUCUUCAAGAAGAAAAAUUAUCCAACAGUUGGAAUUCCUAAAAAUUAGGGCCGUGAGGGUCUUUAUAAAAGGAAAACCGCUUUAGUUGCAUUUGCGAAAGAAAAAGAUAACUCGUUUUGAAAUUGAAACGGAUCCCUGGACGUUGCCCGAGUUGCAAAAAGAGCCUGACUUUCGGGGAGAAAGCUGAAGUAAUUAACAGUUUAACACUUGCCAAUUAACUGAAGGAUAAAAUUCAAACCAAUGCAAGCAAAAAGUACAGCGGCGUUAUACAUGUAUUUCAACUCGCGCGGAGGUCAUAACAUCCUGAUAUAUAAAUUUAAGAUAAUAAACAGAUUAUAAUUCUCAUAUCAUUGAACUUCACAAAGCGGGGAUAGCUCAGUUGGGAGAGCGUCAGACUGAAGAUCUGAAGGUCGCGUGUUCGAUCCACGCUCACCGCAAUAAUAUAACAGUACUAAAAUUUUAUUUUUCCCUUACAUUCCCUCUCUACAGAGAGAGAGAGAGAGAGAGAGAGAGAGAGAGAAACAGUGAAGGAAGAGAGAAUUAUUCUCAGAUAUUUUGUAUGACAAUGACAAGGAAGAGCGAGUGGACAAAUGAACCACACAGCAAAAUCCAAUUUUAGUUGGGACUAAAAUGGCAGCCACUAUUUUCUGUUCUCAUCCAAUUUUGGUAAAGUAGAAGGUUAAGAACCACACCAUCCUUUUCUUUUCAAUUUUCCUCUUAAUUUCAAAUGUAGACUGGUGGCUUAAUGAUCCCACGUACCGAUUACAACCUAGUAGGAUAAUUAUCAUCUGCAGAAGCUAACGGAAAAGAAACAGCAAUCAUAAUCCCAUGAACCAAGAGAGAGUAUUUCUUGUGAUCCUGUUAACUUAGUAUAUUACACUCUUCCAGAGUUCUUCUAUCAUUUUGAAAUUAAUGGAGACACAGGUCUCCGAUACAGCACAAGGAAGUGCUUUUUUUUUCAAUAUCAGGUAGUAUGAAAGCGUGCUUUUAGCAGAAGCACUUGUCUUACUGCCAUCUUCUAGGGGGCUUGGCUGCAGAAGCUGUUAUUUGGCCGCUCAAAGACUUCGCGUGGCCUGAGGAGGUAAUAUGCUUUAAUGUUGUGAUACUACAAACCCUUAAUCUCAUAUGAUGCAAAAUACGAGAGCUGUUAAGAUAAAUAUUCAAAAGAGAGAUGAGCGUAGAGUAAGGUUGCGUACUUGAGGACUUCAAAGGAUCUUUCAAUUUCGGCCGGGAACUUGUCGGUUGCACACUCUUUGUUGGAAGCGAUCUGGUUAUCUUUGGCAGAGCUUUGCAACUGCAUUUAAAGCUUACUUUAAAUGCCUUAUCCUAUAAUAGAUCUUAAGGUUGGAAAAAGGAAGGAAAAAAAUCAACCAACAUCAUACACUUAUUUUCACUAGCACUGCUCAAUCAAUCUAUGACGGAAAAUUGCAUCAUCAUACACAAAGGAGCUAGAAGAGAAAAGUGAGGGAAAAAACAUUUCCUACAUGUAAAGACCAAAUUUACCUCUUAUCAAUAUUAGGAGAUGUGGUUGAAGAUAAAUAAAAAAAAAGCAUGUAAAUGAGAGGAUAAAAACAUGAAAAAUAACACACAAAAUUUCACAUAAUAUAGUUGUGUCAGUAAAAGGGUCAUCUCAGUUUGAGAGGAAAGCCACAUCCACAUAUAAAAUCUUAAAGCAGUCUGUACAUUUAAAAUGCAAGAUGUGUGUGUGUGUGUGAGAGAGAGAGAGAGAGAGCAUACGCUUUUUCUGUUGAGACUUCAGCUGGUUUGCCAGAAUGAAGGUAUGAAACAAACUCCAAAGCACUGCCUAAUGAACCAUCAGUUUCUCCGACUGAAAAUCCACCAUCAGAUACAUCACUUAACCUGUCUUCAUAAUCAGCUUCAUCCAAGCCGACAAGCUCAGCAUCAGCUGGUACACCUCUACCAUUUUCCCCUCCAUUUAGCUCAGCUUGUUUGUGAUUAUUAAAUUCGGAAUAACCCUCCGGAUCAAGAGAAACUCUACCAGUGGAUUUCACAAGUGUUCCACCAGCAAAUAGCUGGCCUUGUUGACUGAUCAAACCUAAGGAAGGAAUACCAGGAGAGGAGGACGAAUGCCUAAGUGAGUUACCACCGGCUCUUUCAAUGUUUCCAAUUGAAGUUCGACUUUUAAAAUCUUUAAGCAGAUGUAAUUGCUCGAUCUCUUCAUCUUUCUUUGCUAUUGUGUCUUUUAGAGAUGCUACCUGCGUACCAGAAGUGUCAAAUAAAAUCCCUGACUAAGCAUAAGUUAGUAUUGCUUAUCUGAACUACAGCACAAAAGUUUGCAAUGAGUACCUGAACUUAGAAUUAUGAUUUUAUGAUUUUAUUACCAAACCUUGCAAUAUUUUUGAUUAAAGUGCCUCUUUAUCAAAACUCAAUGAUAUUUUUAACCUUUUUAACAAAAAUUGUUCUGUUAGAAUUUCACUUGAAUUUUCUGAAAGCGCAUGUAUCAUAGAAUUAGAUAGUGCAAUCAUAACACUUUAUGUUUAGAUACCCAUUUCAAAUUCAAUAUAGUUCAGGAAUCUGUACAUGUUUAGCAAAAGAAAAUUAAGUACAGUCAGCACUAUAUACAAAUCUGCAGAGUUGAACCCUACUGUUCAAGAUGUUUCAGAUCACCAUAUGGUGGGUUUGUAACUAAAUAUAUACUGAUAUAAGAAUGGCUUUAGACAUAACAGAAAGUAGGCAAAGUGCUGAGAAGUGAGAUCUUGGGAGGUAAUGUUCCUGACCUGUUCCAGUAGCUCUUUAAUGUCCUUGCCUUCUUUGUUGCUCUUUGCAGCACCUAACUCAACUCCAGAUACCCUUUCAGCAAAUUUCAAUGUGCUUAUGGUUUCUGAAUACGAUUCAACAUCAGGAUUUAUCUGUACAAACAUUAAAGUCUUGGCCUGUCCACCUGAAAUAUAAGAAAGUUGUUAGUGGUGCAUGCCUGAUGAGCAAAAACAAAAUCUCAAGUUUUCAUGCCAAAUGGCCAUUUUACCCCCUCCCAUGUAAAAUAACUACUUGUGUCGGUACUAAGAGGGUUCAGAAUGGCCUUUUACAGGGGAAAACAGUUGCUUCCAAUUUUUUUGCUAGCAGCCUGGAUAAUCUUGCACUGUAUGAGCAAGUUCAGGGGCUAAAGUGUUUUAGCGAAAAGUUCAGGGACUAAGCUGCAAUAUCAGGAUAUUAAGAAGUAUCCAUAUUUCUAGUUUUAAAUCUUUCAUCGGAUAUAAUGCAGCAAACAAAUGCAUAUCAAUCAAUAUUGGCAAAAAAAAUUAAGGGCAUGCUACCUAAUGAGCUUUGAAGAACUUGAGUAAGUUUGCUGUUUCUGUAUGGAACAUGUGUACUCUUCUGUGCCAGGGCAAAUAUGACAUCUCCCAAAGCAGAUAGAGAUUUAUUAAUAUGCUGUGCUUCCUUGAGUCUGUCUCCAGUUGCUUCAGAGCGUUCAACUCUCUCACUUCCGGCAAGAUCAAUUAGAUGGAGACAACCUCGGGAAGUGGAUCCAUUCUUCAAAUCCAUACCUCGAACAUGAACAGUUAGAAUGCUGCAAUAGGAGAAAGUUUGCACUCAUAAGGUUUUUAAAGAUUCAUGGUCAUAGGUUUUACAUACAUAUCCCUGCAACUGCAAAAUCAUCUAUUUGCAUAUAUACCCCUGUUAAACAAUGAAUUUUAGCAGCUCUCCAAAGUGUUGUUUCUUCCAAAAAUACCCCUGUUUUCAGUUGGGGUGUCAUUUAUUUCAUGGAGGUUUUGUAUUAGGAAGAUCUUUAAAGAGGGACAUUUUGUAAGUGGGAUAUACACAUAAGAAAUUUAAGGUUUUGAAGGGCAUGUACUUAUUUCAGAUUUUGCAGGACAAUUCUAUAUCUAAAAUGGAUUAUUUUAUAGGGUAUAAUGUAUGGAAACAGUAUGACUAAGUGGACCUGUGAGAGCGGCUACUUCUUUCGUUAAGAGCUGUUGAACCCACAGCCCUAUUUGCCUGUCCAAUUUCCAUCAAAUCCAGGACAUCUGAGGUUGAUUGAACAAGGUGCAAGCUUGCGUCAGGGACAACAAGCCCAUUAGGUUGGGAAGUACUCCAUAUCCCAAGUGUUUGAUCAUUAAGGAGAAUACAAAACCAUAAAUACAAAGAUCAGCCAUGCAUAUAAACUUAUAGAGCAAUGUGUAAGUAUACUUAAUAAAAGUGACAUAGAAAAACUCAAGCUGAAAGGCACCCAAUUUGUUGCAUGUUAGUUUUAAGAUCAAAGGAAGAAAAUAAUGAGUAUUCAUCUUUUGAACACAUGUAUCCAACAUAUUUAUAAGUCAUGAGAAUGUAUAUACUCAGUUGUAUAAACUGACAUAAAUAAAUUAUAUGUUAAUUUAGAAUAAAUGUACGGAAGGAUAUCUUUUCUGUGAAACAUCAUUUGAGAGGAGAUCACGAACUUGUUCGUUGUAUAUUUCAACCAUCUGAACUCCUACUUCAUACAAGAAUGUAUUUCUCCUACUCCCAGAAAUGUCAAAAAGGUCAUUUAGAGCCCGAUAGUUGACUCCCCAAUCUUCUUUUGAUGUGCCAGGCCCGCUCUAAAAUAAAAGUUCCAGAAAAGAAAAGGCAUUCUUAGUCAGUGAAACUAUACUAAUAAAACUGUAAGGAGAAAUUAAAUUUUAAAUCGAAAUGGAGAAUAGAACAGGUAUACCAUUGUGUAGGUUUUCCCUGACCCAGUUUGGCCAUAUGCAAAAAUGCAUACAUUGUAACCGUCAAGAACUGAUCGUAUUAAAGGCUGAAUAUCAGAGAAAACUUCCACUGCAGGUAUCAUUGGUGGAGUGUUAAGUAUAUCAUUAGGUCAGAUGCUUAUCUAUUAGUUAGUGAUUAUGUGAACAUAUGUAAAACAUCAUACCUGACAUAAAAUGGAUAGAACUAUCUAUCUAAAAACAAGACAUAACUUUUAACAAAUACAAGUCAAUAGUAAAAAAAUUAGAACCUUGAGAAGCAGCUGGGCAGAAAACCUUGUUAAACUUGAACAUCCGGUGUCCAUCUUUCCCUUGUUUAUAAGGAUUUGAAAUAAGAAGUUCGCCAUUCUCACCAAUAUAAUCAAUUGUUGUUGAUUUUUCAUUUUGACCAGGAAGAAACGGCCGUAUACGACAGUAUACUCUGAUAUUUCCUAUCAAAGCACAUUCAAAUUACCUCGAAAGAUGUAAGAAUAGUUAAGAGAUUCGAUUGGACAACUUUUCUUUAUUGGUGGAUUUUGCUAGUAGAUACCUUUCAAUUCCUGAACCUCAUUAAAUAGCUUCUGGUUCUGUGCAAGAAUUGUAUGGUAAUUUUCAGCAGCAUCAAUCAAGCCCUUCAGCCUUACUCCUGCAUACAAGUAUAAAUUAAUUUAUCUGAGUACACAUAUAAGAUGAAAGCAAGAAAAAGGAAAUAUAUCCAAAUCUCUUACCGAAGUUAGAUAUUUCGUCUGUCCACCUUUUUUGACAGUUUAUGACUUCUUGCUUGAUUGAUUCAGAUGACAUUUUUAGGUCCUGAUACAGUAAAGAUUUUACAUGUAAGUCGACAGCAAAAAUAAAAAGGAUAAAAUAAAGAUAAAAGGACAUCCGAACCUUCACUGAAUAUUGUUGAUUAUUUAUGAAAUGCUGGAAGGUUUGCUCCUUCUUUUUCCAGCUUUGCACCUUCACUUCUGAAAACACUUCAAGUUCUUCUAUUUUCUUCAUUGACUCUGAUAGAAGAGACUCAACCUCCUUAACUUGCUGAGUUAACUGUGCCUCGGACUCCUUUGCCUUAGUUUCAAGUUGCACACAACGAUGUUCAUACAUCUUAUUUUUCAUCUCCAUUUCCUCCUUAAGCUUUGAAAUCAUAAUGUCCGCAUCUUCUUUGUCCUUCAAGAGCCUAGCAAUUUCUUGCUCACCAAGUUGACUUUUCUCUUCAGUUUUCGACUUUUCUGCCUAGAAGACAAAAUAAUAAUAAUAAUAAUAAUAAUAAUGUAGCCCUUUUUUCUAUCUUUAAGAAAUCCUGACAAAAAAUUUUAUGAGCUUUUAAAAAAAUGGUAGCACAUGUUCCCUAAAAAAGAUGCAUUAAAGCAUGCUUUUCAAAAAUGAGCCAAAGCAAAAUUAAUAAUUUAGGACAACCACCUGCAAGAAUUUUGGUGUGAAGCAUAUUAGUGACUUAAAGACAAUUAUUAACAAACUCAGCGUCCAAAGAGCUAACCUAACUCAAAAGUUAAACACAAUGAACUGAUGAAGCAAGUUUCUAAAGUUAGAUAGAAGGGGUAAGAAUGAAACCUUUAUUAGCAGAAGCCGGUUCAUAACUAUCUGAAACAACAAGAACAAUAUAUAUUAUUCCUCUUGAGAAAGCUGAGCAUCUCAAAAUGUUCAAAAAUAUGGUUACUGUACCUGGUUUUCUUCAUUAGUACCAUCUACCAAUGUUUCAAGCGCAUUGAUUCUGGACCGAUACUUCUCUUCCCGUGUUUUUAUUAGAUUAUUUUGCUGCAGCAAAGCAGCCGUAAGGAAACAACAACAUAUUAAUUUUCUAACAGAACAAUAUGAAACACGUCUUACAUUUCUUGUAUGCCUUACAUUUCUUAUAUGCUCUGCUUGAGUAGAAAUACGCCGCUCAAUCUCUUGGACAACUUUUCUUAGUAAGUACACUACACGCUAGAGAAAUGAUAGAAUUGUAAGUCACUAAACCAAAAAAGAAGAGGUAAAAGAGUUAAACAAAACCUAACUGAAAGAAAAAACUCUAAUAAAAUUCUAGUGUGCUUUCAGAGAAAAUGCCAUAAAAGCUUGCUUAGUGACAUACAUGAGGUAUCUCUCCUUUCUUUCUUUCAACGCUUUCAUCCAGAAUACCAUUAACAACACUAAGAAGCGACCGAGUAGGGGCAUUCUGCAGCCAAAUAAUUAUCAUAAGAAAAUACGCCUAAAAAAUGAAUUAGUUCAGAAAUAUAUAGGGGUAUAGAGUAAAUUACAGAUCUUACGUCCAAACUAUUUGAAUGCAUCAUUUCUGAAAUUUUAGCAGCAGGAAGAUCAGAAUAAGAACCUCUCUUUAUUUGGAAAACUUCACGGAACUUACUUCCUGCAAGGUGAAAAGAUGCAGUUUGAUGGCUGUUCAAAUAAUAGAUUAUCCUUAAAACAUGAGCCCAUUAUAAAAAAUUUAGAAAAGUUAUAUGGGGUAUUUCAAAACAGCAAUUGAUAUCUUCUUGCAUAAGGCAAACAAGAAAUCAAUCAUGCUAAGAUAGUUAUAAAUUAGGCCGAGAGCUGAGGAGUUGACUGACUAAUAGAAGAUAACUUUUGAUGUUCCCACAGUUUGAAAUGUACAUUACUAUCAGUAUUCAGCCCUUAGAUUCCUUGUCUAAUCGAUCCUGUAAACAAGAUCAUAAUGGGAGGAAAGCCACUACGAAAGGCAAAACACUGCUGGAAAAUCAACAGGUUACAUGAGAUACAUAACCUUGAGAGGUGUCGUCAUAGAAACUAGCAUUAUUGUGCCACUUGCAUGAUUUCAAAUACAAGAGCACUUGUAUUGUGUUCCUAUAACCUAUUAUGCCACCCAUCAGACUGUAAAUAUAGGAUAAUUUCUACUCUAAGAAAUUAAAGAGGAGACUAUAAUUCCAGUCUAUAAGGGCAAUCAUAUGAUGCGCAACGCUUAAAUAGGCGUGUGCAUGCAAAGGAAAGAACUAAUAGCAACAAGAACAAUGAAAAUGAAGCAUGAAAGUCUGCUAACCGCCACAAUUAAGUUUUAGCUUGCAGCAAGUAAAUCUAUGUGCACACCUGAUGCAGCAGGACUUCGCGAAGUACUUUUCAACUUUGAUUCUGUCUGGCCCUUUCUUCUGCCUUCUGCAAACAUAUUAGAAAUUUGCUGAUCUUGAGUGCUGUCUCCUUGAUCAACACCUAGAGCUGUUGAUCUAUCUAUUUCCGGAAGUCUCCAUCUCUUUCUAAACUGGCCUCCAAUGUUACCCGCAUCAAGAAAGCCAUCUUCACCCAGCUCAGAAUGUAGGUGAUCCCUGAGGUUCAAAAGGCAUUCCACCACUGCAGACAUAGAUCCCUGAAAAUCGUUCCGAAUUGCAUAACAAUUAAUAAAUAAAAAUCGCUUACAAAUUAAAUUGAUACUUGUUUAGUGAGUGCAAAUUUGUUUUCACAAAUUUGACUGCAUGGAAAGAGAAAAAGAAAACCUGCUCCAGAUCCAUUAUACUGAAACCAGGUAAUCCCAUUUCAGCGAUAAUUGAAAGGAACCUCUUAACAUUGUUCAACUGCUGAUCAGAGGAAAAAAAAGCGCCCCGAGAACUCUGCAACAAAAGCUCAGACUGAAAUGGGCAUCAAGAUCUAACUAGCUUCAUUAAUCUACAACCACUUCAAUGGAGAAACAAGUUCCAUCACUCAAUUACCUCAACAACACCAGGAAUCAACCUGUUCAAAACACAACACAAUACAGUCCCAUCAUACAAUUGUUCUCUCAAUUCCUCUUCGGAGGCAUCGACCGGCACAUCAAAGUCCGGGAACAAGCUGUUCAACCAUUCUAACAAAUCUGCCCGGCGGCUCGCUGAGAACCACAAAACAAGGGGAAAACAUGUGAAAACAAGGUAAAAAUCCUAACUUUACUAGUCAAAUGAGAGGAAUUGAGCAAGAUAUACUGAAAACAAAGCGGAUCGCCUCACCUGCCUCAACCUCACUAUCAACACUCCCCAUGCUGUCUCUUCUCCAACUCGAUGCUUGGAGGCUCAUCGAGACAAUUUCACCAUUAAAGCACCUCUAGAUAAGAUACUAGUUAAUGCUGCAAGAAUCUAACACUACGGGAGAUGAGAGAUCUCCUCCAAAUCAACGACACCUCAAAAAAAACACCAAAUUGAAGCAUCUUCCCAGCAACGCCACACUACCGGAUUCAGACUUAUUCGAGUACUAUUUCAAAGAUCCGAGGUAUGCUACCACAGUUGAGCUUGGAUCUCACGAUUUCGGCGGUAGCCAGCAGCUUCAGAGACGAAAUCGCAAAUGCGGAAACCCUAGCGGAGAUCGCAAGUGUCGGCGCUUCUUUGAUUCGCCAAAUCCCCCUCGAGCUCUACCGCCACCUCCCCCUUCGUUCCUUUCCUCCUCCGCUUCCUCGUCUCCUUCCUCUCCCUCCCCCCUUCCUCGUCCUAACUCGCGCCCAUUACUAGUUUAUAGCAAUGGCGAGAGAGAGAGAGAGAGAGGGUUUUGGACACUCUUCAAUAACACUAAAACGGGAGCUUCUCUUUCUCUCUCUCUCUCUCUCUCUCCUCUUCUUCUUCUCUCCCUUUUUUGUUCUCUUUCCUGUGAACGCACCUUUUCUUUCGUUUUCUCCCGUUGUCUUUAACGGCGUUAACGUCGCCCCAGGCCGACGAGAAAAGCAUUGCAUGCACCGGGUGCAUACACCGAAAUCUCCAAAGCCCAAAUUUAACAUUUUAAAAUUUAAACCCACUCCUUAAAGCUUAUGUUUCAAAAAAAAAACAAAAUCAGAAUUUUUGGUAACUUUUCCUAUGGAUGGAAAAUUAGAUUUCUUAAAAUUAUCAAUUUUGCAACUAUUAAAAUAAAUAGUUUUUUAAAUAUUUUAUUUUAUUUUGGAGUUAGGGUACUCUAUUAUUAUAAAUAUGAUCACUUUCGUACUCAUAAAUUAUUUUUUAUGAUAAAACUUUCAAAUAAAUAAACAUAUCAUUAAAUAUAAUUUAAGGUAUUUAAAUAAAUUAGAAAUCAAAUUUUAUAAUUUAUUGACGUUAUAUACCUUAUGAUUAAAAUGUCUUAGAAUUGAUAAUUAUAAUAGCUUAUAUUAACGGUGUAGAAAAUCAAAAUCAGAUAAAUUUAAAAUAAAAAAUUUAUUUAUUUUUUAGAUCAAAAUAAAUAAUUCUAAUUUUAAAUUAAAAAUUUUGAUUUUGAUUUUUAUAAGAAUAUUUAAUUCUGACUGUUCAUUUUAUAGCAACUUGAUAGAUUUCAUUAUAAUUUUUAAAAAUUACGAAAUUCGAUAGUAAGGCAAUUUCGAUAUUCUAUAUCAUAUUUAACUACACGUAUCAUUAAAAAUAGGCGAAACUUCAAAUACCUCCCGUCGUUUCGCACUUUAUCACUUUAAUAUCUUAUGGUUUAAAAUGUAUCAAGUUAGUACCCUGUGAUUUCGCACUUUCUCACUUUAGUACCAUAUAGUUUCAAGUGUAUCAAGUUAGUACCCUAUGGUUUUAUUUUUUGUAUCAAGUUAGUAUCCCGUGGUUUCAAUUUUCUCUUUUUAUUAUUCAUUUCAGGAUAUAUAAUUUAAACAAAUAUUAAACCACAGAGUACUAAAGUGAGAAAGUGCGAAAUCACAAGGUACUAACUUGAUACACUUGAAACCACGGGGUACUAAAGUGAGAAAGUGUGAAACCACAGAGUACUAACUUGAUACACUUUAAACCAUAUGCUACUAAAGUGAGAAAGUGCGAAACCACGGGGGCUAUUUGAAGUUUCCCCUUAAAAAUAAUUUAUGAGUACACUUUAUAUUUUGUAUAUAAAUUAUUUCAAAACUUUUUAUAUAGGGACAAUUGUUUAUAUACCCUUGAAAAGUUUUUAACUUUCUGAUUUACCUUCUUAGAAAGCUAAUAUUAAAAAUAUCAUUUUUACAUUUCAACCUAUUUCAAAUUUAUUCUAAAUUUUAUUAAUAAAUUGUUAGUAAUAACUGUUAUCUCUAUAAAAUUAUUAUUUUGCUCUUUCAAAUAUACCCUUCUAUCAUUACCGAUUUUUUUUAUUUGCCGUUAAGUUAGGGGCACAAAAAGUAUUUUAUUUUUACUCUUUUCAAAUAUACCAUUCUAUUAUUACUAAUAUCUCUUAUAUGCCCUUAAGUUAAGGACAAAAGAGCAAUUUUAAUUUUUUUAACUCUGGUAGAUAUUUAACUCACGCUUAAUCUAAAUUAAUUUAAUGAUGGUAACUGUAGGAAUACUUUGGAAUUGCAGAGAAAUAUAUAAAGGAUAUAUUAGAAAGAAAAAAAAAGAUUAAAUAAAAUAUUUUCGAAGUUUUAAGAGAUAUGGAGGCAAUUAUUUCUUUUGUAGGGGCAAUUGCUUAAAUGAGUGGCGAUGUAUACAUACGUGGUGUACGCAAUAAUUUCAAGGGCCAAACGGCAUGCGUCCAACGACGAAACGACGUGCUCGUUUGAAUGUUUGAACUUGUACCGGCCUUAACAUUCAGUACCUAAAGUUUUGCCUUAUUUACGAGAAUGCCACGAUUCUUACUUUGGGGCUGUGUUGUGGUGUUUUAUCCAUGAUGGCAUUGGUGUAAAUUCGUGGUACUCUUGUGGCAGAGGUUAAGGAGGAGGUGGAGUCAAUAAAUAUAAAAACAGCAGGAUAACGGCAGCUGGCCAUCAGUGUGGAUGGACGGCACGUCGGAUUUGACGGCGUCAUAUAAUUUUUUUAUUUCUUUUUUUAGGUUCGGAAUUUUAAUUUAUUUCCCGCCUUUAAACACCUGUGUGGGCACCAUGUCUCAACAAUUAUUAAUUAAUUAAUACAUGGCAUUUUGGAUAUUUAUUUACAUGGGGCAUGGCCUAUGAACGUGCCAGUACUAUGGUUGACUAAGGCAGGUUAUGCACUAACGCCGUUAACUCUCUUUAACGGAGAGUAGUACCAGCUCAAAUCAAUGUUAAGGGGUUGUUUGGUGCGUGAAUUACAGGGUUGUUUGGUUCAUGAAUUACAGUUGUAAUUGCAUGGAGACGCAAAUAUUAUAUUUAUUUUAAUACAUUUGAAUUUAAUUAGAGUUGGGAGAUGAUUCCAUUGUGAUAGUUGAAACUAUGUUUAAAUUGAUUAUAAUUCAAAUUUUAUAUAUUUUUUUUAUCUGAAACUAAGUUUACCUGACUAAUCAUCUUGUAAAUAAAAAAAAAAAACUUUUCCUUCUAAAGUGGGGUAUUUUCACCAACCUCAUAUAUAAAGUGAUAAAAUUUUAUAAAUAUUAUUCUCAAUUACGUACAACUAAAUAAAUUAUUUAUAACUACAGUGUUUUCAUCUGCAUCUACUAAAACAAGAUGCAUGCAAUUAUAAGUAUUGAUCAACUUGUAAGAACUUGGGCCGGGCUGGGUUGGAGAUGGUCAACCAAAGUAACCAAAAACACUAGAAAGUUUGGGCCGGCCCAAUGAACCUGAUCCAACAAACCAAAAAAUGGGCUAGGCCGAGCAGGUCAAUCUAUAUAUAAAUAUAUAUAUACUAGUGAAGGAGUUUGCGCUUUACAGCGGAUAGAAACCGUAGUAGUAAUUAAUAAUAAAAAAAUAAUAAACAUUCUUUUGUGUAUCCUGCUUGGUAUAUCCACUAAAGGUCACGGCGGAAAAGGAAAGUGGCCGCACAUUAGUGAGAAAAAGGAAAGGGAGCGAGAAAAGAAGGCGAUGGUGUAUAGCAAAAAAUGAGAAAUAGAAAAUGGAUGAAUAUAUUAAAGAUAAAAAAAUUAAAAGUCCGGUAGAGAGAAGGAAAAAGGCCAUAAUGAAUAAUUAGAGAUAGAAAUAUUAGGAUUGUAGAUGGUAGUGGAAUCAUUUAAAUAUACUAAUUAGAAGUUUGGUAGUGAAAUCGUUUGUAUUAAUUGAAUAUAGUAAGACCAUUUAAACACACUAAUUAAAAAUUUGGUUAGUGAAACCGUUAAAAUGUAUAUUAAAAGUUUAGUGAAAGGAAGAAGAAAGAUCACAAGUUAGUGAGGGUAAUGGAGAACUUGCUACGUGGCAACAAACAUAGGAGAUUCAUAUAGGUUAACAGAUAUAUAUGACUAAAAGUAGAGUAUGACACAGCUUACACAAUUCAAAUACACUAUUUUUUUUUUUUUUGAGAAAUAGGUAGCAAGCUACCUGCUUCAUUCAUUAAGCAAAAUGAAUUUAGCAUACAUGAUGGAAGCAGCUAGGGCCUCCAGAUCGAACCGGCGACAGAGGAAAUAACUAAAAAAAACAAAAAAGGAACACAAAUAAACAUAGAAACCAACCAAACAGGACAACAAAUGUGCUUAGAGCAGCGGAUGAAAAAGUCCGGGACGGAUCAGAGUGUUUCGUUCCAAGCUCUGAUCAAAGAAGCGACGCGUUCGGAAGCCCAGAGAGCGUUAUGAGUCACAUCGCGGAAACAAAUACCAUUUCUCUCCGUCCAAACGACCCACCAGAUUGCCGCCAAAUGGGUUAAACAUUUCGAUCUAACUUCGGCAUCUGGAUUCUCGGAGAUCUGUGUCCAAAGCUCCCGAACAUUCCCCGCAUCCGAAUCAGCUGGCAUAACAGCACCUACUGUAAUUAGCAGAUAUCUGACAAAGAUACAAUCCAGGAAAAGGUGAUCGCAGGUUUCGGAUACGAACGCACAGAACUUGCAAAACUGGUCUACAGGGCAUCCUCGGCGUCUCAAUCUGUCCGUUGUGGGUAAUCUUUUUCGAAGGAGGAUCCAAACGAAAACUUUGUGCUUGAGCGGGAUUCUAAGCCCCCAAAGAUAAUCGUACAAAGGAUUAAUCUGUCCUCCGUCAGUGAUAAAAUCGUAGAGGGACUUAACAGUAAAAAUUUGGUUCUUGGUCCAUCUCCACUUUGGUUUGUCGUGUGUGUUCGAAGGGCUAAACUGAGCUAGUAGAGUUUUGAGCAGCGUAGUUUGAUGGCGGAUAAGGGAAGUGGAACUUGCCGCCAAACCUCUAGUAAUGAAGCGCCAUCUCCAUCCUCUUUCAUUCCAGCAUUGUGAGACCGUGGCUUCCUGAUUUGCAGUUCUGCAGAAAAUUUCAGGAAAUCUGGUACUAAGAGGGAUUUCGUCGAUCCAAAUGUCCGACCACCACCUAAUGAUUUUUCCGUCACCAAGAGCGUAAGUAAGACCACAUUUGAACAUUCCCUGACAGCUCAUCACACUUCUCCACCACUGGGAGUAAGGUCUGAAGGAUUUUCCCUCAUGCAACGGCCUCCUUCUAGUAUAAUAUAAAGUGGUGAUUAACCUCCCCCAUAACAGAUGCCUCUCAUUGAAGAAACGCCACCACCAUUUGGCUAAAAGAGCCUUAUUCACAGCGUGCAUAUCCUUAAUCCCCAGACCUCCUUCUUUUCUACUUUUACAUAUCGUUUUCCAUCCGACGAGGCAAGCCCCCCCUGAAAUUUUCGAGCACCCUUUCCAAAAGAAUGCUCUUCUGAGAGCUUCAAUGCGAUUCAGUACCCACUGCGGCACCUUGAAUAUUGCAAAGUAGAAUAACGGAAGAUUUGAAAGUACCGAAUUGACCAGGAUUAAUCUCCCCCCGUAGGAGAGGAGUUUUGCCUUCCAUCCGUCAAUGCGCUUCUCGAUGCGGUUAAGGAUCGGAGUCCAAUCAUCCUUUCGAAGGGAUUUAGUAUUGAGAGGCAACCCCAAGUAGCGAAAAGGUAGUUUGCCAACUCUACACCCCAAAAUAUCUGCGAGUCUUUUAGCUCUGUUUGCUGUGGUUCCGACGUGGUAAAGUUCAGUCUUGUUCAUAUUGAUCUUGAGCCCCGAGGCCCAUUCAAACAACUUCNGACCUGUCGAACUGACAUCAGCCUCGCACAGGAUCUAGUCGCCGCCCUCAGCUUGCUCGGGGAAUCCCUCUCCUUGCCGAGAAAAAGAUCAGUAGCCGGGGAAGAGAGACCGUCCCUUGAGGAGGCCCCCUCCUCACCUAACAGCGGAUCGAAAGCAGGGGGGGAAAAAAACUGUCCAUCAACGAACCCGAGCGGCGGACUCCAGAUCAGCGAGGAAUUCUCAUUGUCAUUCUCCAUGAUUUUUCCCGUAAAGUAGACCUCCCUCCCAUUUUCGCCUGGGCUCGGAUCUACUGCAUGAUCUCCAACAGCUGACCCGGGCGGCGAUGUGACGAUCGGCAUAACGGAAGUCUGAUAAGCCCCCCCACUACUAGCACCUUUUUCUCCUGGGACUGACUCUACUUCAGGCACCCGGAGGGCGACGCCUGCAGAUAUGUGGGUGGAGAAGCGCCCCACAUCCCAAACCCGGGAGCCAGAUACGAUGCAAGUUACCGCUGCGGACAGCGCGGAAAACUCUUCGCCGGUCUUCCAGGAGGGCCCCCAACCAGUGUGGCCCGAGAGAGAGAAAGUCCCGAGGAGGUCUGGGCUAACAGGAAUAACAGGCGGACUGAAUUGCGGAUGGGCUUCUGCAAAAUAGAUCAAUAAAGGUCCCCAACGGAACAUGCAACAGGCCUCGGGUCCGAGUGGGACUGAAGGGCCCAUCCCUUCUACAAAGGAAGUGUCGUGCCGGCCCAGCCCAGGACGAACAGCUUUCGGGCCCAUGAGGACCCACUGUUCGGGAAAGCAAAUGUCCAUCCCCGGCCCGGAGCUCGAGGAGGAUGUGUAGAUCUUCUAAGUCGAAGGUGACCGCUUUUUCCAAGCACAGUAAUAAAUACUCUGAUCUUUAAUAACAAGUCCACUUGGCUCCAAACUCUGACACGUUGACAAAGAAGCCUGAAGGAGAUCUUUUCCUUUUCCUAGAGCCUUCGAGGACGAACCGCCUGUCGCAAUUAAGCUUCGCCCCCUCUCCCCGUCAAUUCCUUCAAUUAAUGCGCCGUCAGCCUCAGCAAAAUUCAAAUUCCCGUCCGUUGUCCCACGCUUUCCGACGAUCGCCGGUCCCUUUUCGUCGUCGCCGCGCCGAUUGGAUUCUUCCGACGAGAGUGCGAUAUUUCUGCGCAGAGAGGAGUCCGGGAUGAUGACUUCCCGCCUUCUAUCCCGGAUUUCGGACGAAUUCCAAGAUGCUGCUGCGUCCGAGCUUGAAGAACCACCAGCCGAAGAUCGUCGCCCUCGUACCGACCCAGCAGAGCGGUGGGGGGGCUCGUGAUCUCUCAGCCCAGGAUCAUGCUGGUCCGUCCGUUCGUUGGGCGGAAUGCGGGGGUCGACAUAGUCGCGACGGCCCCAUCUCUCAAGCUGGAUGAGAACCGACAGCGAAUAGUCUCCCACCGUGAUCUCCAAAUUUUCCGGGAUGUCCGAUAGAAAAUUGACAGCAACGAGGCAUCUAUACCCUGUGAGAUCAACCAUGCGGUUCGAGAAGUCAUCGGCCCGGAUAAACCGUCCGAACCCGGUGACCAGCGCCGCCACCGUUCUAGAUGACCAACACUCAUAAGGUAAGCAAACAAGCCGGAUCCAAACAUUGUACGUUAACGAAGCCCUUCGCAACCCGGAGUACGGAUUCCAGGAAUAGCAUUGAAGCCUCAGAUUGUCCAACGACAAAAUCUCACGACGAACUAGCUGGGCAGCCGGCACCCAUUCCGGUAGGAAAAUCACAAAGUCGCGGGAACUAUACUUAGCGACAUGAAAAUCAGACGGGAGACCUCCGAAGCGAGCCGCCAGCCUGUUGGCUAUCGUCUCCUGAGGAAAAUGACCCAAAUUCCUUGGAGGGAGGACAUCCACCAGAAUCGCGUUGCGACAAUGGUUCUGCCUGGCGAAGAAGUCGUCUGUCUGUGGGACAAACGCGCUAAGGUAAGAAGGUCUGGCCCGCAUCUCCCUGUAAACCGCCAUUGGCAACCGAUCCAUGCAAGAUCUAGCAACGUGACCCGUCUUAUAGCACCGCGCACACCGGAGAGGCGCACGGCACCGUGACGCCCAGUGGUUAAGGCCCAGACACCUGAAACACUUGCCCGUAAAAAAAGAUUUGGGCGGGGUUUUGAAGGAGGGAAAGUAGAUGUCUCUCUGUGGGCGUCCACUGUCUCGCCGCGGAAUGGAAAUGGGUGUGAGAAGCGCCUCCUUGUAAGUCUUGUUUAUACUUGUCUUGUUUAUACCCAACGUUGCGGAGAGAUUAGGCUUCCCGAAACCCGUGUCAGAUACGGCGGUGUGGGUUAAAGCAAGCCCCUCCUCAUCAGCCCAACUCACCUUCUUGCCAGGGUUGGUACCUUCAAUAACUACAUGCCUCUUUCUGCCUUCAUUAACUCCAUUUAUCUUCCUGACCUCAUUAACUCCAUUCUUCUUGUAGGAGACUCAAAUACACUAUUUUAAUACACAAAUUAUUUGACUUUAGAAGUUCAAAUACAUAGGCAUAUACAGUCCAACCAGAGUAGUACAUCAGUUCAACUAUGAUAUUAUAACGGAUCAAACUUUUUAAGCUAAACUUCAAAUACCAUCCCUGUGGUUUCGUACUUUCUCACUUUAGUACCCUGUGAUUUAAAGUGUAUCAAUUUAAUAACCUGUGGUUUUAUUUUUCUCUUUUCGUCAGAUUUUUUUUCGUUAAAUCUGUAACUUCAAAUACCCACCUAGAUUUAUCGAAUAUUUACUUUAAUACCUUUUAGUUUUAACUUUGUUACAGAUUUAACGAAAAAAAAUCUGACGAAAAGAAAAAAAAUAAAACCACAAGGUACUAAAUUGAUACACUUUAAACCACAGGGUACUAAAGUGAGAAAGUACGAAACCACAAGGGUGGUAUUGGAAGUUUAUCCAACUUUUUAUUGAAAUCAAAAGUUACAUUUAUUCCAAAAGACUAUUGAUAGAAUAUUCUUUGCUGUAGCAAAACAUCCUGCAAACUGAUCUCACACGCCCGGGCGAGUUGCUCUUUCGGUAGGUCCAACCUGCCUUAACAACUAAAAGGCCAAUUUUGGUGAGUGACAAAUCGAAGAUAGAGAGAAAAAAAAAAUGUAGUUAAUUUACUCACAAGUGAGAGAGAGUAUAAAGGGUGAGAUAAGUGUAAAAUAGAAGAAAAAAGAUAAAAGAAAACCUGAAAAUAGGACUCCAGUUUCUGUCUAAGAGUGGUAUGCUCCCUCUUCAGUUUCUGAAACGAUCUCACGCAUCUACACAAUAGAAAAAUCUAAUUAUUGAGAUUGAAAUCGAGAGAGAGAGAGACAGAGAGAGAGUAGAGAGAGAGAGAGACCCUUCAAUAUUUUCUGCUUUGCAGUACUCCCUAAAGGUUGUGCAUUCAUUCUUCAUCCUAGAAGCACCAAUGCUGCACCAAAUUUAUUCAGUGCAUAAGGUCAAAUUCCAAGAAGCAUUUAGUAUUUAGAUAAUACAACAAUAUGACAAAAUGAAUAGCAUAGGAAUAAAAUUAAACAACUUCGAAUCAUAUGAUGUUGACAUGUGAAGUUCGUUAGAGAUUAUCAAGUAAAGAUGAGUUAAGAUACGGGGGAGAGGAUUGUGACUUGGGUGAGAGUCCAAUAUGAACAGGAAAACCACCUUUUAUUUCAGUUAAUACUCACAAAAGGCAAUGAUAAAAAAAAAAAAGGUAGAUCGCUGUACACCAGUUAUAAUCUUUUUGUGUGUGUGUAUGUGUGCGUGUGUGUGUGCGUGAAAUCACAACUAAAUUGAUUUUAUGCAUCAUCAGAAUAUGGUGAGGUGAUGUUUGGUGUUUUCUUCAAAACAAUCUGGAAUUCUUGUAUGCCUUAGACAUAUGCAGGAGAAAUAUAAGUCGUGGAAAUAUCAUACAUAAGAAUCAUAUUAUACAUGAAUAUAAUAUGAUUGGUACUGUGGAGAACAAUCCAUUGCUACCUGGAGCCACUGCCUUUCAACUGUUGCAUGUAAAUAUCCAGCUUGUUGAAAUCUUGAGGUUGCUUCUCCCUGCAUGGUGAUUAUACAAAUACUACUUAAUAUUUCUUUUACACCUCCUUUUGAUAAGUAUAGCUAGAAAAUUCCUAAUAUGGCUGAAUAGAAAAGUAGAUAUUUACAGAGCUAGCUCAAUGUUGGACGAUAGUCUAGCCGAAUCCCUGAAGAACAAGGUAACGACUUCUUCCACAAAGUUAGGGCUAGAGUCAUCCUGUAACUCUUCCAACUGAUAAAAUUGCUCAUCUAAAUACCCCUGCAACCAACGAACCAUGUUAUUUAUGUUACCCUGAUAUCUAUUUUUCCUGCACAUAUAAGUUAAUGUUAAAACAGAUCAGUGGCCUACUAUAUAUGUUAAGAAUCAUGAAAGUAGGCAUUCUCAGGAUAGUUUGAACGAGAUUGCAUAGUUCAUCAGUGCUUGGGAAAACAGAUUCUUAACUAGUCUCUUCGGAACUACCACAAGGAAAACUAGAAUAAUGAUUCCUGCUUUUCGGCGGAGAUCGAGUGUAGUGAUAGUUCCCAAAAAGGUGCCACACAUAGUGCUAGUAAUUAGAUUCUUGAUGUAACUAAGAUAAUACCUGAUCAAAGAGAUUUUUCUUCAUAGAAGCUGCCUGUCGACGCAAGUUAGCAUAUUCCAUAUUAUAUAGUUGCAAUACGAAAACAGAACAGGUUUAGUAUGGAUGGUGGAGAGCCCUAAGUUCCUUUAUAUAGCAGGAAAAGGAGGGGAGCUAAAGAAAAAAAAGAAAGAAAAGACUAAACAGGAUAUUUGCAUAUUGAGCAUGUAGGAUUUGCUUGCCACGAUAUUUUCACCAUCUGUCCAUUUUUCGGAUAGUGACCUGCACUUAAGGCCCUCUCUCUCGGGGUAUCUCUAUGCAUCGAAUCAGAAAAAGCAUCAUCACCUAAUCAAUUGAUCAAAAUUGCAGUUUGGUGUCUUCCUAUAUAAAUUAGGCGUGAAGCAUGAGUAGCACAUGCAAAUAUUAGCAUGCACUCUUAACUCUGACUGCAUAUACUAAUGUCUAAGAUUUUAAAACUCUGGAGGGUUGUAUGGUAAGUUCUACAUUAAUUGAUAUUCUGCAACUAAACUAUUCAGUUAACAAUCUGUAUUGGUUAAUGUUUCAGCUGAAUGCAAAAUAUUCUGACCCAUUUCCAGUUUGGAGCAGAUGUUUUUCUACCACUACCAGCCUAAGCCACAAUCUGUCCCCUUUCCCCUUAAAGGAUGAAGUUAUUUGGUAUACACCGCAGGUUUGAACAGAUGGCAAAUAGUGUGGACUGAAUUGAAGUUGCUGCUAAUAAUUUGGCCUUGACUCCUCGCAUUUGAAUGUUAGCUGGUUAAAGGUCCCAAUCAGAGCAGUAAAUACAAUUUAACAUUCUCUCAUCAUCGAUUCCCCAUUCCUCAUACUCGAUAGCUGGUUCUUUCCUUUCCAAUCUUGACCGUUUAGCCUACUUUUACUGAUGCUUCUACGAGCAACAACCUCUUUUGAGCACUUGGCAAAACAAACAAAGAGACAAAUUUGGAACACCUGUUGCAGAGGGAAGCAAAAAUGAGAUUUAAGCCUGAAAAGGGAAAACUCUAAUCUGAAACUUAUAAUUCUGCUCAAGAGGCAAGACUAGUGAUAGUGUUAGUGUUUCUCCUAAUAGCACCACUCAGGCAGCAGUGCUUAAUCAAAUAGCACUACAUCAUAUAGCAGGGCCGAAUUUGGUCCACAGCGUAAGGAUUGUCUGUUUCACAACUACGAUACUUUGUUGAGACAGUCUCCAAUAUUCUCCAGCUCAAUACCUGAUUGCAGCUGGUAUUUAUGUGAACUUUUCGGAUGAUGACGGUAAGGAUUAAGGGAGAAAAACAGAAUAAGAACCAAAAGUAGAAAUAAAAUCACCACUAAACAGAAGAUGCUAUCGCCUCCAUCCGUUCACAUCACACAAACAACAUUAUGCAAUAAGCUUUAAAGGCAUAUUGUUCACAGACUCAGAAAGGACUAACUAACAACAUGAAUUGUCAAAAACAGAACUAGAAAAAUAGUGAAUGAGUAGAGAAAAUUUAAAUGACAAAACAAAGUUCUUUUCAUGCUUCUCAAAGUUCAAGCAUUAUGGCAAACUACAAAAAUAACAGGAUAGAAAGAGAAUAACUUAAAAGAAUGCCUCUACUUUAUUCCUUGCCCGCAGCAGAUAGGACAAGGAAAAUAUCAUCUUUCAAAGUAUAGUAGUGUCAGUUCGUUCGAGCAUUGAAACAUUCAAGGAUUCAUUUAAUGAUUGGUUCAACGGUUGCAAUUCUUCAUUCCCGUCACUACUGCAUGUCGAGAGAGAAUCCAUCAUGGAAUGAUAGAACCAAGUGACAAAUUGUUAGAAUAAAGGCGGAAAAGAUAUAGUUCGUCGGGUGCGAAAAUACCAAACAGAUCCGUGAAAGAGAGAAAAAAAAUAAAGCACAUAAUAUUUACGUGGUUCGGCCACCGGCCUACGUUCACGGGCGAAGACGGAGCGGAGAUCUUCAUUAUAAUCAAAGUGGUGUACAAAAUAUGCCUCUCUCACAAAAUUCUAAUUUAAAAAAUACACCCAUACUCUCUCUCUCAUCGGUCGCAUCAAAUCAAUGGAAUAAAAGGUAUAUUAUAAUAGUGGCUAAAUCCUAAUAAGAUUAGGAUUACAAAUCCACUAAGACUAAGAAUAUCUUAAUUAGAUUAGGCAUAAUCUAAACUUAACUUAAUGGAAUAAUCAAAAUAGAAUAGGGUUAGAAAACCUUGCGGUACUAGAAUUCGAGACAUAUCUAACACAAAUCUUGGCCAGGGGAAAGGAUGAAAAGUGCAAAUUCAAGGCUGGCUCGAACUAUAACCAUGAAAUUUGAUCUCUGCAAAUAUAUCUGAUCACUUUUGACAAAGAACAUUGGACCAGCUCUGAAUGAAAAUGAGAAAACCUGAAACAAAUUCGCAUUUUUCAUCCUUUCCUCUUACCCAUAUCUUUCAUUUGGUUCUAUCAUUACACGCUGGAUUCUCUGUCGACAUGCGGUGGCGACGGGAAUGAAGGACCGCAAUCAUCGGACCAAUGAUUGAAAGAAUCUUUUUUAUUCCUAUUUGUAUAAGUUGUGGAAAGCUCCAAUGAUACUAUGCUGAGCAUCAAAUAAAAGUUGUUACAACAAAAAACCACUAUUAGGCUAUUAGCUCAUUAGAACUAUUUCUGCUUCUUUGCCUUGCACAUACUUUUGCGAGAUUCAAAAUUGGAAUUAGGCUGGAAUACUAUUAAUAAUAAAACGCUCUUUUUACUAUCAAAUUUUUAACCGUUGGAUGAAAAAUUUUAGAGUCAGGAUGAUAUUAGUCGGUUAGAGUUGAGUGGUCCCCCUAGGGUUGAGUGGUCCCUACUGGGUUAUAGUAUUUAAUCCAAUGGUUAGAAAUAAUGAAAAGAGUUGAUCCAAAGGCUAAAAAACUGAUAGUAACAAUGGGAUUUUGCUACUAAUAGUAGCCCCGUCCAACUCUUCAAAAUUGAUAAUUAUUGAUGAUAUGACAUGCCACAUAGUGUACCAAUCCAACUCACUAAUACUAAUAACUCGCAAAAUACUUAACAAAUCGGCUACGAUACCAAACGUACCAAUAACGCAGUUGCAUACAAAUCACUGGCCUAAAAUGCAUAAGCCUUAAUAAAAUUCUUAGUCCCUAUAUAUCCAAUCAUAAUAAUUUUUUUAUCCAAUUCGAGGCUACUGGGAGGUGUCGUAGAUAUAUCAACAUUGCCAUAGAAAACAACAUGUUAAAGAGAGUCGCGGAAAGAUACAAGGUUAAGCACAAACUAUAUACUCAGAAGAUACCUUGAAAGAGGGACUUCCACGCUACAUAUCCAUUCGCUCAUCUCAUCGUCGAAUCUCUCUACGUGGUGCGUUAUAAGAACACAAAAAUGGGGAACGAAUCAUUAGCAUGCGUGUCGAUACCUAUCCCAGUGGGGAGAGAGUCGCGGCGUGGGGGACGAAGAGGAUGCACCCCGAGUGGGAGGAAGCCUAUGGGCCUCACAAUUUAGGCCCAUGUUCACUUUACGGCCCAAAUAGAAAUGGGUCGCACUAGUGGAUCACAAAGAGCCCUUCGUAUUCGUAAGUAAUUUUUUAUGAUAGAGCUUCCAAUUCAAUGAUCCGCUCUGUUAAAUAUGAUUUUGAGUAUUUAAAAUUUUGAAAAAAUAAAUUUUGUAAUUUUUCAAAUCAGAAUAAAGUCAAUCAAGCGGAUAUAAAGUGAACGAUCCAAAUCGAAUGACGUGCUAAAAAUAGAUGAUCGGAUUCUUCAAUUUAAGAUCAAAGCUAUUGAUCUUUAUGUAGAUAGUGAAUAGAGUUUUCUAUAAAAAAUUCAACCGAUUCUUAUUUUUUUAUACCGUUGAAUUAGCAAGUAUGGAAUAUCGGCCGUUAAAAAUAAUCAAUUUCAAUAUCUUUUAAAGAUAUAAAGUAAAUAAUAUCAAAAAAUUUUAAAUACUCUAGAUAAUGUUUAACCAUAUGGAUCAUCAAUUUGAAAGUCUUAAUAUUAAAAAAGUCUUAAUAUCAAAAUUAACAAGAGGAUAGUAACUGAACUUACAAUAUUAAAACCUUCUGAUGUACUGUUACCGUACAGUAUGAAGAUUUUCCGUGCAGCUGUGAGCAGGAAUUAAAAUAAUCUCACAACUUUGAUACCGAACCUAAUGCCAGCGUCUAAAAAAAAAAAAAAAAAAAUAUUUGUGAUUUUCACGAGCUUAACUUCACCCCACAUCAUACCAAAAUUAAAAGACCGACAUUUCAUACAAUUGUGAAUAGAAGUUUGAAUAAUUCCCGGAACGAUGAUGUCAAAACAAAUGCCAACGCGUGCAACUUUCUCGAAGUCAUAAUUUCAACUUCUGAAGCCCACAAAAACAAAUAGAUCUCAACUUCACCUUAACCAACCCAGCGCCGGGAAAGAACAUAAAGAAACCCUGAAAACGCACACGCACACGCACACUGCACAAUCAGAGACCAUUCCAAAACGACAAAGUAGCGCAAACAAAAAGUUUAUUUUUAAAUCCCAUAUCUGCCAACAGACACAGCAGAAUAACUAGAAGGCAGCAACUAGCUCAACAAUAACUGCAUUAUUACAUCUUACAAAACCAGCAAGUACCUGCAGUGCUCUUUCUUAUAUUUUCUACAAAAUUGUAAACAAGUUACUUCAUCUGUAGCUACGGUAAACGGGGGUGUACAUGCAACUCACUGCAUAUUUCACCAGGUCUUUCGGGCGAGGAAGCCGACUCGCUAAACCUGUAUGAUAUGCGCAAGAGAAUGAGACACUGUGAGCAGAAAAAUUAUUAAAAACAAAUGUAUAUGUUCGGGAAAGAAAACGUACCAAGUUCGUAUGCUUUCGCAGCUACAUUAGCAGCUAUGUUUGCGGAUAUCUUCCUGAUAUUCAGGAAGGGCGGGUAGAUCAGCCCUUUCUCAAAGUUCUCUUUCGUUACCUGGUGCCCCAGCGCCUCAGCUGUUCCAAUGGAAAAAAAGAAUAAAUAAAGAUGAUCAGAACAGGAAAAUUCAAUACAAUUCAAACAGUUUCAAAGCUUUAACCAGUUCAUUUUCUUUUUUUUCUAAAAAAACUCUGGAAUAGCACUAGUUUUAAGGCACUUCCAGGAGAUAGUAAAUGGCAUAACCAACUGUGAAAGCCCAUUCAUAUUCGUCUGUCGGAGAAACUUUGACAGACAAAUGGAUGACCAUGUCAGUAGAAUAAUCUGAACUAUCUCCUUCUACGAGAAUAUUUGUUGGAGCUAUAUGAUUUGUGAUAUUAAAGCUUCCGAAUAUAUAUAGAUGUGGUUUGUAAUUUUCGCUUUUUAUGACCAAUAAUAUACACCUCAACAAAUUUGUAGUGAUUUCUUUAUGUUUUUGUGUUCUUUCAGUUGAGAAAUUACAUGUGCAAUGAAUAUAUAUAAAUACAUAGUUAAGUAUACGAAGACCAUGGUAAACAUUAGUUUCUGCAAGUUUUGUUGCUUACAGGCAGCGAGAAGCAUCUCAUCAUGCACGCGUAUCGCUCCCGAUAUCACCAAACCAAGACCAAAUCCUGGGAAAAUGUAAGCAUUGUUUGCCUGCGUAGAUUGUGAAGAGGCAGCAACAUCAUAUCAAAUUUAGCCAUUUGAACGAACUCGCAAGGAGUUUUCAAAAGUUUUAAAAGCAAAAUGGAGGAAGUUCAAACCUGGCCAGGCACAUACUUCUUGCCAUUGUAUUCGACUGGAUCAAACGGACUGCCACUAGCAAAUAAUGCUCGACCCUGGGGACCAUAUUUCAGUGUUGAAGAGACGAUCGAUAAGAAUUUUAUAGUACUUUUGUUCAAAUUAUAAAUAAACAGUUAUGAGGGCACCAAAGGGAGAAUUACUACCUUACUCCAUGUAUAUGCUUGUUCAGCAGUACAUUCAGAUUGCGAAGUCGGAUUUGAUAGAGCAAGAAUCACGGGCUUCUGUAUUUGAUAAAACGACAAUUAGUAGGUCUAAACUUUAUCAGUGGCUCCAGAUAAUAGUUAAAGAAACGUGCAAAAACUCUAAUGUAGAGAAUUGGAAGUUACCUCAUUAAAAGAGGUCAUGGCUUCAAUUACUUCUUGUGUGAAAGCUUGGCCGACACCAGCUGACCCUAUCAGGACUGUCGGCUUAAUAGCCUUAAGAAACAAAAGAAGGAAAGUUAGUGUAUGUCACUAACUGUUGAAGUUUGAUUGUUAAGAACCACAUACUAACAAAUUAAGAGAGAGAGAGAGAGAGAGAAAGAGAGAGAGAGAGAGAGAGAGAGAGAGAGAGGAAAUUUUUGUAGAUGUUUUAGAAGACUUUGCAGUUUGCACCUCGAUGGCAUCUAAGAGGUUCUUCACCGGUUCAUGUUCGUGUGCGUAAGAUUUCUUGAACUGUGGAAGAGAUUCCUUGCGAGAGCUAACGAUCAAACCCUAUCAUAUGAAAAAUUCUCUCUUCAUUGAACUAGCAAAAUGAUGAAAAUAGAAGGCUAAAUUAUAAGUGUUCUGUUAAAGCAGGCUAAAUAUAUUUCUUAAAAUCAACCUUAGAGUCCACAAGCCAAAUCUUCUUGCGGCUCUCUUCCGUUGAGGCCUUUGCCUGAAAGGAUCACAAUCAAUCAUUUAUCGUAUCCAGUUUGACUCAGAUUAUAGAGCACAUGGAAAAGCAGAGAAGUAGAUUUCAAAUAAGUGAGAAGCUUGACAGAAUAAGUUGCAUUACCUGCUUAGAAAUCGCAAGAGCUAUCAGCUCAGCAAUACCUGUCCCAGCCUACAAGAACCAACAUUCAGCAUUUUCUGAUCUAGAUGAAGAUAAUAGAACUUAAAAAAAAAAAUUUAAAAAAAAGAAAGAAAUCACAGGGUACAGCAACAAACAUAAUGCAUUUAGACUGACAGAUAGGGAAAUGUUGCAAUGGCAUUAUACUAUGACACAAGAACAUCAAAGAAACAUCAGGGCAAAACAUAUUUAGUCAAUCAUGAUCGAUCCACAUAUUUCGUUACUCUACAAACAGUACCAUGAAUCAAGAGUUCUAUUCCAAAGAGGCUAAGGGGAAGAAUUCAACAGUGGAAAAGAUACCAACCUCUCCGGCACCGAAAAACAAAAAUGUGUGCUCUGCUAAGGUUCCCCCGACCAACCUCAGAGCAGCAACAACCCCUGCAAGGACAACAGCAGCUGUGCCCUGCAACACAGAUAGUACCAUUAUAAGUUUUUUUUUUAAGGAGUAAUAAAGCUUGCAACUGAUUGUUCAUCAGCUAUAACGAUGUUUUACGAAGGAAGAGAUCCUGUCCUACUACCUGAAUAUCAUCAUUGAAGACAAGAUGGGUCGUGCGAUAUUUCUCAAGAAGGUAAAAUGCGUUGUGGUUGGCGAAAUCUUCAAACUGGGAAUGGUAAUUCAAUUCAAAGAGACACGGAUGAAUUUUAUUUUAACUCAAAUGAAAAAGGAAUUCAGUAUUUAGAAAUGAGAACAUCUGUUUUCUCGAAAGCAUAUCUCAUACCUGAAUGAGCACAUUUUCCCCAUAGUUCUGCUUAACGGCAGCCAUGAAUUCAUGCAAAAAGUCACUAUACUCCUGAUUUAACAGAUAAGAAGAUCAUUGAUCAGAAUUCUAAUAAGAACAUUGUAGGAAUCAAUCUAGAAGAGAGACCACACCUGGCCAGUAGCUCUUCUUUGCCUCAACCCUAUAUAGAACUCAUUCUUUAACAAGUCCUCGUUGUUCGUUCCCACAUCAAUCGUAAUUGGUAAGCACUGUAAUGUAAAGAAUUAUCUAAAUACUGCGCGACAGAUGAUUACAACUUCUUAUUGACAGUAACUAUUAAAGUUAAAUGCGAAAUGCUCACAGCUGACGGACGAACUCCUCCAAGAGCAGUGUAAAGAGCAAGCUUGCCGACAGGGAUUCCCAUUCCCUAUUUUAUCCAGCAAAUAUAUACUUGAAUCAGUGAUCAAUUUAGUGAAUUUCUCAUGCUAAAAUCUAGAGAGUAAAAAAAGUACCUGGCAACCAAGAUCUCCAAGACCCAAAAUACGCUCGCCGUCAGUGACGACAAUAACCUGAAUGCUCUUCUCAGGCCAGUUUUUCAGCACCUCAAGUAUCUUCCCUCUACAACAAGAAUCAGCUCCUCAAGUUAAUGGCAAUAUUAAAAUGCGCUGAUAAUAUAAAGAUGGGGACAAGAGAUAACAUCUUACUUCUCCUUCAAGCUAAUAUAAAGACCCUGCGGACGCCUAAAAAUGGAUCCAUACUUCUGGCAGGCCUCACCGACCGUCGGCGUGUAAACAACCGGAAGCAACUCCUCGACAUUGUCAAUAAGCAGCUUGUAGAAAAGCCUCUCAUUCCUCUCCUGAUAAAUAUAUCAUUACAUAUGAGAACAAUAUAUCAACCACACGUAAUUUGGUCAUGCAUCUUAAAUCUAAUAUGCGGAAUACACGCAAAAUCUAGAUUUUAGCGCUGCCUCUCAGAUUUGAAUUUGCAGGGCAACAUAUAGAUAUGAACCGAGUUGGAGCAAAGACAUAUAGAGAUAUGCUGAGAUAUUUUUGAGAGAUAGGUAGCAUGCUACCCGUUUCGUUUAUUUCUUUUAGAAAUAAACUUAGCUGGAAAUUUGAAUCAACUAGGAUUCGAACUUGAGACCUCGGAUACCAACCACCAAGCCCUUUGCCACUUCCGUCAGGAACAAUUGGUAAUAUGCUAGUCGGUGAUAUGCUGAGAUAUGUUUCUCUGUUUUCUAGCGGGACUAUAGAAAAUAUAUCGUAACAGCCUCAUUGCAAUACGCCGAACAUGAUAUUAUGUACGAAAACAAAUAAAAUAUUUUUUUAACGUACUUUUUCACAGUACGUAACACAAUCUUAAACUUUGUAAUAUAUACGUUGAAAGGUGUAGAGUACCUGGAGGUCCAUCAUGGCCAUGUAACGCUGCAGCGGAACCUCGUAAUGGCGAAGGUUGUGCAUGAGCUUCUUCUCCUGCGAGAAUAAGUGUUCUCACAAUUAUUGACAACACAUAUAUAACAUAUAUGUUAAGACUAGCAGAAAUGGUUUACGAGCAUAGAGAGACGGCCGAACAAACCUGAGUCUCUUGCGUCGCGAUCGCCGGCGGCAAGAGGCCGCGCAGGUAGUGAGCAUCUCUCUCUUUCUCCGUAAACGCGAGCCCUUUGUUGUGGUGUGGAUCCCUCAAUAAGGUGUAACCACUAACACGGGAAGAAGCUCAUUGAACAAGGCAUUUUAAGAUAAAAAAGUUUCUCAAAGUAUUACCAAUUUUUGUAUACAUGCAAAGUAAAUAGUCCAGCAAAAUAAGCUAACAUAUAUAACUGCUUAAUUACACCACAAGAGAAAAAUGUUACUCUCUUAUUCAAACUGAAAGAGCUUAAAAAUUGAGUACAUAAAUAUGAAAAAAAAAAAAAAUUCUCGUAUUUUCAUUGUUGCUUGCUUGCAAUAUAUUUCGGCUAAAUAAUAAAUAUAAAUAGUAAUUAUUUAAUAGAAAUUUAAGAUAAAAUUAAACUGUUUUUUUUUCUAGAGUGCAAAAAUUGUAAAAUAAAUAUUUUUAAAAAAUGAAAAAAAGGGAAUUAACAAAGAAAUUAAGUAGAGAGAGAGAGAGAGAGAGAGCUUAACACACCUAGCGACGGAGACGGUCCAGGGAGUGAUGAGUUGGUCCUCGGUGGCGCGAUCCUCGCCGUACACGUCCUCCACCCCACCCCCCACCGUGCUCGUCGGAUCCACCUCCAUUUCUCUCCCUCGAUCCCCUCCUCUCCGAUCACACAGAUAUUAUUAUUAUUAUUAUUAAUUAAGGAUUAAUAGUUAAUAAUAAUAAAAAUAAAUAAUAAUUACAAAAUUAAUAAUAAUUAAUAGUGCUGGUAUGAGUAAAGAGGUCUCACUAGCUACCUCGCUCUUUUAUAACACCAACGAGUUGCGACGUGGCAUAGCAUUUAUUUUCUAAAAUAAAAAUUAAAGUUGCACGUGGCGGAGCGCGGGGUGAAAAGAGGGAACAUGAUUAAUUAAUUUUACACACAACAACGGAAGUGUUUAGAAGUGUGUUACUUUUUUUAUAAUCCUCAUCUUCGUCGCUAAUCACUGGUAUUAAUGUAAUGUAAUGUAAUAUAAUAUUUGUAGUUAGGAAGAGAGAGAGAGGCGUACGUGGCCGCGCAUGGGGUUUCGCAGGUUAAAGUCCACGUGGCACCUGGACUGGUCGCCGCGGUGGUCGACGAUGACUCGAACAAGAAGCGGUGCUCUUUUGGUGCUUUGUAGAGUUGGCCAACUUUGACCGCAAAUAAGGCAUAAAUUUUAUAUAAAAAUAAAUAUUUUUAUAUUAUCUUUAUUAAAUAUAAAAACAUAAAAAUAACUUUUUGUACAAGCUAAAACGUUUAUGGAGAAUAACAGUUUUUUAAUAUGAUUUAACAUGGUAUUAAAAUAAGGGACCGUAAAUUUGCAUCUAUCCGGAUUUCUAACAUAAUUUAUUUUCUCCCAUUUAAUUAAAAUGCAUGUUACAAGCCUAUAAAAAAAUUUUCAGGUUAAAUAUAGAAAUAUAUAAAUGCCAUCUUUUAUGGGCUUAAGUUUUUGAAAAAUAAGAAUUGCUUUGUACAACUCAACAAUAUAUAGUGUACUUUGAACGAAAAAGAUAUAAAAUUUAUAUUCACUUUUUUAGAUGUAUAAAUAUAAAUAGCGGAGUCCGGCUACAAUGCUAUCGAUAGCACUUGGUGCUAUUAAAUUUUCUGUUGUUAGAUAAACUCCUUUCAUCAUUUUCAUUUGUUAGAUCAUACUAUUUAACCAACCACCCAAUCAACUCUAGGAAGCCACUAUCAUCAUAAUCGUACAUCACUUCAUCCAAAGACCGAAAACUUAAUAGCACCACUGACUUGGUGCUAUUAAUAGUAUCCUAGCCUAAUUUUACAUAGCAUUAUAUUAUAUCUUAAAUCAAUUAUACAGUGUUAUAUAAGAUGCUAGAGAGUCUAAAUAGAAAAGAUAUGAUAAUAUUAUAUUGAAAUAAUAUUUUAAAAAAGUAUUUGUUAUUAUACUUUUUUUAAAUGUUAGAUGGAAUAGUGUUGCGUAAAAAUAAUAAUUUUCUAAUAUAAGAUCAAUACAUCUCUUAUUUAAGCCAUUUUGUCACCGUUUGGUUCGAGGUUAAGUAAAAGCUUGUUAUUCCAGAGAUAGGAUUAAGUUCAGAGUUAAGGUGGAAUUAGAGUAAUUUUAUAUUUGGUUGAGAAUUACGUUUAGUUCAGAUACAGAUAAAAUAGUGUUUGGUUGGAGUAGAUGGUAUAAAAACAAUAGUGGGUAAAAUAUUAUUUUAUUUGGUUGAAGUAGUGAGGUGGGGCCCCACCCGCCAAAUUAGAUGUUUGGAAAUAACUUCGGGGUUAAGGAGUUAUUCUAUCUUUAAUUCCGAACCAAAUGGGUGCUUUAAGAUUUGUGUCGUCGCGUUAAACCCAACCCAUCAAUUUUUUUUUU